Molecule: long non-coding RNA, 44856 nt
Filed under: Brachypodium distachyon (stiff brome)
Lineage: Eukaryota; Viridiplantae; Streptophyta; Magnoliopsida; Poales; Poaceae
Description: long non-coding RNA (BDIS_LNC004779)
Rfam family: MIR1120/MIR1122 microRNA precursor family (bases 6801-6936)
Source: RNAcentral
ACAUUCGGACUCUCGUACACUUUCCCGGUAAAAUUAACACAGCACAUCAUGCUGCAUUGCACGCACGCAUGCAGCUGAUCAUCGACAAGUCGACGGCAAUUGCGAUGAAGAGCUCACAGGCUGGGCGUCCUCUCGGCAGCUCCGGAGAUGACGGUGAGCAGGUUGUUGCCGAAGGGGUCGCUGAGGUGCGCAGAGAGGUUCUCAACGGGGCCCUCGCCAGUGACGUAUGCCUGGAUGAAGAAACCCAGCAUGGAGAACAUGGCUAGCCGGCCGUUCUUGAUCUCCUUCACCUUGAGCAGCGCCGCCUGGUCGGGGUCGCUGGCGAGGCCGAGCGGGUCGAAUGGGCCACCGGGGUGGAGCUUGUCCUCAAGAUCCUGCCGGAGAAAUUGAUGAAAACCGUUGGUCAGUACAAAGUUCCUAAUUGCAGCUCAACUUAUGUAUAUGUUUGAGGUGUUACUGUCACUGACAAGGCCGUUGAUGAUCCUGUAGUACUCGGCGCCUCCGACGAGGACAACCUCGGCGACGACGGCGAGGAUGAGGUUGAUGGGGAUGCUGUUGCCGAAGUAGUUGAGGGUGUUGCCGUCCAGGAGAAGAGCGCCGGUCUGCAUAUGUGUUUGUUCAUGGCACCGUGAGUUUAAACUUCAGAGUUCUGAAUCUGAAUCUGAAUGUGUGAAUACUGAUGAGCAAUUACCUUGAACCAGACGGCCUCGGGACCGCAGUUGGCGCCGAACUUGUUGCACGCCUCGGGGAUGAUGAAGCCGGCAGCGCCGAGCAUGGCCCAUCUGGCAUGGAUCAGCUCAUAGGCCUGGUACCUGAAGAAUAAGGUGUGGGAAAGGAUUACUUAGUUGAUAGAAUAUUUUGUUUAGAGUGAGACCGUAGGUUAACAAUUUUAGGUCUGUAUUUGCAAAAUGCAGAUCACUACUUACUUGGUGAAGUCAUCUGGCUUCUUGCUCAGACCGAAAGGAUCAUAGCCAUAGCUGAAAGUCCAAAGGGAAACAAAUAGGUCAGUUCAGUUGCAUAUAUAAUCUUAGUCUCUUAGUUUUGCAUGAGCAUUUCAGUAAUAUGAGCAGUGAGGCAAUGCUGCAAAGGGAAGACAACUUUAAUUCAAAUAGUCUGAAAGAUUCGAGAAAACAGUGGCAUUUCCACAAAGAUGAAAACUAAUUUAUGCUACACUGCUCACUACAGAACUAGCAAAAUAGGUACGAGUACCAUAUCCAUAUAAAUUUGCCGUAGUACUAAAUUACUACUACAGUUCAAAGGAUGGUUAAAUUGUGGAGGGUAAAAAUGGAAGCAUAUGACUUACUCUCCAGGAACCUCUCCGUUGAGGUACUCUGGCACCUCUGACCGGUCAAGGAGACCGUCCGGCAAGAAGAUCCUCCUGUCAGGGCCUGAAAACAAGAUUAAAAAAAUAGUACUUAGGUAUGUAUGAAUUUUCAGAACAAAUUAAUUACCUGAAAUGUGUUCAAUCUCAUAUGGAAGUUUUCUUUGUACUCACCAUACCACUUGGCGAGCUCGUCGUCGAUGUCUGCGCCCGAGGAGGAUACUGGGGCGGGCUUCGGCUUCGCAGCGGGCUUUUUGUUGAAGCCCCCGAAGAGGGAGACAAUCUUCUUCGCCCCAGCGGUCGGUGCCGCCGUGGUGUAGCUGGAGGAGCCGGUGAAGUUGAGCCGGGUGCCCAGCAUCUUCGUGGGAGCGAGCGCCGCCAUUACCUCAGGCCCAAAGUUCACAGAGAGGUGUGCUCAGCUCAGCAGGAAAGGUGUGAUGGGCGUUUGUGGAGGGAAAGGUGGGGUAGUUUAAAUGGAUGGAAAUGAGGAUUGGAGGAUGUUGUGGGCCCAGGCAAGAUUGGGCCAAAGGGGUUGUGAUUGGCUGUGUGUUCAGGAGGGCUAUCUGUUGCUUGGAUUUGAUUGGCCUGCCUUUGCUGACUUGGCAGAUGAGGGUGCUGGUGUGGCUCCAUUAGAGCCUCUUGUUAUCUCGUUUAUCAAGAGCCAGGCGGUACUAAAUGGUCCAAAUGCCAUAGAUAGAGACACAGGGAGAACGGAGAACCAAGGAUAGAGAGAGAGCGAACACAACAUUUUCAAGCAACAUACCCACCCCUGAGUUUCCACACACCACCCCUGAGUUUCAUCAGAACUUCAUAACAUCAAAUUAUGCUGGAAUUUAACAUCUGAGACGAGCAACACAAAUAACGGGACAUAAGCCAACAUGUACACCUAGCACAAUAGUGUUCAUCGGUCUGACAUUUUUUUUCUAACUACCAGAAUGUUAACACUUGAAGAAUUUUAAGCAUUAACACUAAUAGAAUUUCAGGAUCCUACUUAAAUACUCCCUCCGUUCCUAAAUACUUGUCGCUGUUUUAGUGCAAAAGCAAGUUUGUACUAAAACAGCGACAAGUAUUUAGGAACGGAGGGAGUACAAGUCUAUCUAGUGACGGACUGAUCAACAUUCAAAAUAAGAAAUUACAGUGUGAUACAAUAGAUGUGGCUAAAGGUCAGCUGCUAAUCCACAUCAAUGGCAUACUGUUUGUAAUCCUUGACCAAUACCAGAUCUUGACAGCUAACAGCGGCAGCCAUAUGGUGGUGCAGCCGAUGCUCAACUCUUCACAGCUCACAGCAGCAGUCAUUUGGCAGUGGAGCUCAACGCCAUUUUUCAAUAUGUUUUGAAGUUGCGCUCGCAAGCCUUUUGGUGUUUACAACCAGCUCGUCAAACAAAGCAGCAACAUUCUCCCUGGAACAGAGAGAGGAGGAAAGGAUGAGCAACAUUGAGUAGAAAUAUGCAUGUUUAUUUUGCAUGCAGAUUGAGUAAGUUAUGUCCCAAGGGUGCCAAACAAGAAAUAAGGUGGAGAAAGCCAUAAGCCAGUAACUUGACAAAUUUCACGGUGACAAGAAAUGAUAGAGUUGUGCAAAAGCGAGAAUAUAUGUAGUUGUCCUCUCAGCACAAACUAGAGAACUGCUUAGAUGUUCUAGAUUUUGAAGUAUGUUAGCAUGACAUAUCUUAUGCUCUGUACUACAGAGCUUUCAGAAAAAUAUAUUAGCCUGACAUUAUACUGCAGCCAAACGUAUACACAUUUAACUGCGAGGAACGAGUACUGUUUGGGAAUAUGCUGACAAAGAAAACUGAUUAAAAUAAUAGGAGAAGAAUUGCAGUUUAUGCUCUACAGAAAACAAUCUGACACAACUGGCAUUAGAGUACAGCUCAGGUUUAUGAAAAUUCUGAAAUGAACACUCACAAAUCUGUUUCUGCACCAUGCGAUCAGCUUUUUUUAAUUUGAAACACACAUACUGUCAGAAAUAGAAUUUGUAACAAAAUAUGGUAUUCCAGUUUAAGUCAGGAGUCAGGAAUGAGUUACUAGUACUAUUUUUUUUUGUGGAAGUAGUUACUGUUAGAACUAUACUGUACGGACACUAUGUGCACACGACAUACUAGAACGUCACUUCAAAUAUCUCACUAUCUACUGUUAACAUCCUGAUAGAAACAAGGUUUUAGAAAAACUGCACUGGACUUUUUUAGAAAACUCAUGAAGGGGCUAGGUUUUAUGAAUUCUCAAAGAGACUCACGAUUUUCACUAAGUUUCAUUAUUGCACAUAAAAUUAUUAUUUCGUGAUGUUCAGUGAGAAACAUUUUUCUCUGAUUUUCUAUGGGUCGCACUUUACAUAGUUAUUUUCACUUAAUCCAAGUGUUUAAGUUUUCAAGUGUUACAUGUAUAUAGUAUGUGUACAGUUAAUUAGUUUGGAUGUGAAAUGUUGCAGUACAGUAGUUUGGACUAACUAAUAAGGUCAUAUCACGUCUAAUGCCCAAUGUGUAAAAAGAUGGUGCUUAAGCUAAUUGAUUGGGCUCUGGUAUGGAUUGAUUGCUCGGUUUCUUUUCUUUUGUUGCCUUUGGUAAUCGAAUACUGAAGCAGGAUCUUCUUCUGCAAUUCUCCAGUCAUACCGCCAAUCAUCUAGUUUGGAUAACUAUGUGGGAAUGCUUCAUGUGACUAUGUGAGCUCGUCUGUUACUUCAAAGCAUAAACAAUAUUGCCUAAGGUUCUUCCUCCAAUCUCAAUUGGUCAUCUGUGUGAUUUAAUGCACAAGUCAAUGUUCCCUAGCAUUUUUACGGACUGUGUAGAUUGUUAAUUUCAAAAAUUAGUAUUACAAUAUUUGCACCUUACCCUUGCCAUCCAGAUAGCUCAUCUUGCAAAUUUAAUGACAUGAGCAACGAUAAAUAGAGUAAAACCCCAAAGUUAUUGAACAUAUCUUACAAUGUUAGCAAUCCAGCAUAGCAUGCAUAAAACUGUCUGUUAGCACAAAUGUCACUAAAUACUUUCAUGCCCACACAAUACUUACGUAGGCAGAUUUGGAGCUUCUUGGAACAUUCUGCCAACAUUUGAGUGCCUUUUCUUUUCGUCAUAGGCAAUCCCUUUGCCCAAGCCGUAACCAAAACCAAAUCCUAUACCACAUCCAGCUCCAACUCCAAAGCCUAAAGUGAGUCCAGGAAAUCCAUAACCUAAUCCUGAACCUGCAUUAUUCAUGCAACAUAUAAAGUUAUACAUCAUUUAUUACAGAAGUUAACACAAAAUAUCAGGAAAAGGAAGCGAGAUCCCAGAGGAUCAAAAAACAGUAUACAAAUUACAAAAUGAUGGAACGGUAGUAUUGGAAAAAAUAGUUUACAAGUGGCAAGAAUGCUGUUCAUUCUGCAACACAUCUGCCAGAAAGUUUACAGAUGCAGACAAUUGGCCUCCUCUCAUGCGCCCAAUUGUAAUGAUAUUGGGUUCACAAGUUGAUUCUAUCCCAUCAAUGGUACCAACCAAAUAUAACAAUUUUCCAUAUAAAAAGUCAACUACUUCCUCAGUCCGACAAAGAAUGUCUCAACUUUGACUAAAUUUGAAUGCAUCUAUACAUUAAGUCAUGUCUAGAUACAUCCAAAUUUUGACAAAGUUGAGACAUCUUUUGUUGGAGGGAGGGAGGAUAACAAUUGCAAAAUUACCAAAACCGAAACCCUCCAACCAAGACACCGAGCAGCACAUAUCAGCAUGUGCAACAAUCCAAUCUGUGAAUACCCCUCCCCUUACGAGCUAUUAGGCUGCUUUGACUAGAUGAGUCUUAGAGCAAACCCUACCUCGUUGACUCCACUAAACCCCACCCUGACUAACCUUCAAAUACUCAUCAUGUUGUCAAGCAGCUCGUCAAGAGCGAAGAGCAAUGCGGAAACAAGGAGCAGGGAAGAAAAACGAAAAACACAACAGGAACUCAAAGUGAAGGAGGGAUUUACCGCCGAAGAAGCCGACUCCGGCGCCCACGCCGCAGCCGAAUCCGAGGCCAAAGGCGGGGCCUAUCUUGCCGAGCUCCCUGGAGGUGACCUCAGGCAGCCUCCAGAGGAGCCCCUUGUCGCCACCCCCACCUCUCUUCCCCGCCUUCGCCGUCCCCAUCGCCUUCCCCUCUCCGUCUGGUCCUGUUCGUGUUGAACUGAGGGGUCCAGGACCUCCGGGUCUCCGAGAAGAUUGAAGAAUGAAGACUCGUGCGGAAAAGCUGAAACAAAGGGCCCAACGAUAACUUGCCCAUAUAGAGCCGGAAGGAAGAUGGCCCAGACAAAAGUCUAAGCAGCUAUUGGGCUGAAAUAGAGAGGGCAGCCCUUGGGCCCGCGGAGGCAGAGCGGAGGACUUUUUUUUUCUGAGGUGACAGAGCGGAGGACUUAAAUGGUGUUUUUUUUUUCCGAAAAUAAGAUGGAAAGCAUCAAAUAUUUUUUGAGAAAUGAUGGAGAGCAUCAAUUGAUACACACAAUUAUUUUUAUUUCAAAGUCAUAGAACACAAGUCAUACAAAACACAGAUCAGAGAACACGAAUACAAAUGUAUGCAGGCAGAAAUGGUCUAACAUAGUCAGUCUAUGUAUUAAAGCAAACGAUUAGAACAACUUGAAUGCCAUGGAUAAUGGUAAACAAUGCUGCUUCGCGGUUGACCCCGCUGAUCGAUGGAACAUGGAAGAGUCUACUGGCUGCACCUUGGCAUUGACCGACUAGUGCUGCACCGCGAUAUCGUCGCGGGAGAAGAGGCAAUUUAAUUUUGCAACCACCUGUCCUUAAAACUGGUUUUACGCAUGCUAGAGAUGCUCUACGCAACAAGGUUAGAAAGAGCAUGAAACCUUGGUUUGUUUACCUACACUUGACUCUUUUCAUAUUCCAGUUUGAAGUGUUCCUUUUAAUCGGUAAUCUAGCUUUAAGUGUUGAUCCUGCCGCUACAUACGCGUUCUUCCCCAAAUCAGAAACAAGCUGGUGGCUGCACAGACCUUGUGGUCCAUUCUUUAGUACUACUAUAUCAAGACAUUUACCAUAUUGUUAUUAGAAAAUCCCGAUUACCACAUGUAACGUACUCUUCGAUUACCGUACGUGCAGGAAGAGAAUAUAGUACUGCACGUACUGAGAGAGUAGUAGUUAAUUGGUGUACGCACUGCCGCUGGAUCUUGUUGUUUUUCGAGUACCAUGCACGUUGCUCGCUUUGUGUGGAUGCAUCGUGCAUAUCAGACCAUCAGUAGUAUAUCGCAUUUUUCUCAAUUGGAAGUAGCUUAGCCCGUGGUUGGUACAAGUUUUGCAUCUGGUCCAUUCAACAUGCCAUAAUACUAUAUCAAUGCAUUUACUACAUUAGUGUGUUCAAGAAGAUCGAUCGAUCUCGCAAACGUACACGCUUGAGGUGUGCAAAUGCAUGAGUGUACUUGCAUAUGGGCAUGAGAAAACAAUGCAGGUCCGUGCCGAGAUAUUUGACAAGUCGGCACGAGCUUGAAUUUGAUUCCACUCCGGUCCGGUCAGACAUACUUCCUUCAAUCCAUGUCUCAAAUUUAAUACUUCCUCCGUCCAACAAAAAAUGUCUCAAAUUUGUUAGAAUUUGAAUGUAUCUAAAUGUGAAUUAGUGUAUAGAUGCAUUCAAAUUUGGUCAAAGUUGAGACAUCCUUUGUUGGACGGAGAGAGUACAAGCUUAUAUUAAGUUACUCACUCCGGCCGGAAUUAUUUGUUGAAAUAUUCAUGUAUCUAGACGUUUUUUGAACAUAGAUACAUUUAUAUUUGGACAAAUUUGAGACAACUAAUAUGGACGGGAGAGAGUAGCAUGAGACAAAUAUUAUGGAUCGGGCAGAGCACGUGUUAACGAAUUAUGUUGCGGUACGCUGGCCCUGAUCAUUACGGCGGCCACAGGGUUGCAAGAGUACUUGUGUAGGCAGUGGUAUGUACGCAAGUAGUACAGCUAUGUCAUGGAAACUUAAUUGAAAUCUGAGGCUCUCCCACGGAUGGGAUCUCGAUCGUUCUGCCAAAACCUUCAUGAACCUGUUAUAUGUGCCGGUCGUACCAAGAAAACAAACAAACUCUUUCCUAGCUCGAUUGUAAGUACAAAUCUUGCAUUGCUAGCUCUCCCUAGCUGAAAUAUAUAUAUGCACACGCCCAAAUAAAUGUGCAUGUACAGUUCAUAAUUUUGGGGCCAAAAUGUGUACAAAUCAGAGCCACGAGUAGCCACUGCCGGAAUCGAUCGAUAUGUAGCUCGCUUAACUUCACCUCACGUACGAUCGGCGCUCGAUCAUGUAUCUGUGUCGUAUGUACCGCUUGUGCAAGUUCAUUUGCACUUUAGAUAUAGGACGUACAGCUAGGUGCCAUUACCCAUGCGUACAUCCUAGCUAGGAUUGCCUAUGCAUGGUACGAGAAUGCACUUUGUAUUCUGGCAUCCAGCUAGUGUUCCCUGUAUUUUUAAAAUAAUAAUAAUAAUCAAAAACCAUAUUGAUGAGUUUCGAUAUUUUUUCACGUGAAAUAUAUAGGCUUUGCUAUACGACACAUUUAUUAAUAAUUGAUAAAUAUUUCAUCUAUGGGCUACACAGAAAAAUGAAUAAUGUAAUAAUGGAUGCACUAUUUGCUACUCCCAGAUUUGUGCUAGGUGCCAAGGCAGCUCUCGUUUCUAGUGCCUGCCACUGAUAUUGGGUUAAUAAUAAAUGGAUGUGAGUAGUUAUUUGCCGGGUGCGGGUACUAAGAGAAAAAUGAGAUCCAUUGUGAAACAAAUGAGAAAAAUCUAUACGCGUUCUAUUGUGGAAUGCAGUGAGUAUUGUAGAACAAAAAUGGAUAUAUUAUCAAUUAAUCAAGAUAUGUACGUAUGUAUACAUGUACAUGUACAUGUGGAACGUUUUUUAAAAACUCCAAAAUAUGAUAUUAUUAUCUUUUGUAUUUUUUAAAAUACAGAAAGUACUGGAACCCAAGAGCAAAAUUCGCUCCAUACUAGAAGUACACACCAACAUACAAGUACUCAUCAAUGACCUUUGAAAAAAUAUAUCCCAUAUAUUUUUCUGAGCCGUCACAGAAGCCGUUGGUGGCCGCAUAUCGUUCCAGGAUAGAAAUUUGCGGGGAUGUUUUUUUUUUUUAAAAAAAAAAUCUAUCGAGAUUGCAUGGGAAGACUAGAUCAGACCAUCGAUCUAGGCUUCAGGCACCAUCGUCGUGGCCGGAAGGAGGGAUUAUUGGCAACACGGUUGAGGGGAGGGAGAUGGAGGUGGAUGAUGGAGCUUCAACUUCCUAACUGUGCGAGCGCUCACCGUGGACAACAGAGGCUGACAUCGAAGUUGUGGAAGAAGAUGAUAGCUAGAAGUGAAGAAGCCCUUUGCGAGGACAAUGACAAGUACGAAGCUUCAACCCUCUACACCGAUUCAACAAACUUUGAUGACGUAUGGGAGCACCAAGUUUGACGAUGCAUUUACCAUUCCACAUUAUGGCCAUUGCAAAAGUUUGAUCGGUCACCAUGUGUGCCCCAACACACAACUCAUACCCGCCAUUAUAGAGUACUCCUUCCGAUCCUUUUGAACUAAAAUAACGACAAUAAUUUGGGAUAGGAAGGAGUAUUUAUUAUUAGUGUUCGACUUUGGCCUUCAAAAUAUUUGGCAGCCUAUGACAGUUUUGAAAUUUUGUCCAACUACCACGUAUGCAUCAUCUCCACAAAUCUUGCAAAAAUUUCAGCCGACCAAAAGCCAAGGUAUCAUAUUUGGCUAGUGAUGGUGGCCGUCACUAAUUCAUAGGGCUUGAAUUGGUAGUUUGGUACUCCAUAUUAUCCAAACGUACCUACCCACACCACAUAAAUGUUACUCUCUCUGAUCCUAAAUUGUUGACUUAAAUUUGAUCAAAUAUGAAUGUAUUUAUUCUUAAAAAAUAUCUAGAUACAUGUAAUAUUUCAACAACAGUUUAGGAUCAGAGUGAGCAGCACAUGGAGUGAUCGCUGCUGAAUCCUUGUUCAGUAUUUCUGGCCGGGCCAAAAUUGAACCACGAGGACAAGUCACAUGCGUGCACGUCCAGUGACCCGCGUGACAAAGAGCAGUACCAUAUAGCAAAAUUGAUUGCUUUUUUCCUUAAAGCACAAGCACGUACGCAUGGCGUGAUGAUGAAGAGCCAAGAUUUUGGCGGCCGGCGGCGUCACUGCACGGGGGGUUGACAUCCUCGCAAAGAUUUCUGGGAAUGAACGCCGCGUACAUCACCCACAGUGUACGAACGUUCAGAGCUACGAGCGGCCACGGGCCACUAGUCCCACUACUGUAAACGUGACGACUUACACCUGGGCGUACGGCCUCGCAAUUCUUAACUUCCUCGCAUUACGCGCACAAACGCGAGGACACCGUACGCACCGUACGUGUGUGCAAAGUUUGAUUGUAGCUCGGGACGAAAUUAAGGCGCCGGAUUUGUUUGUUUCUAAAUCCGAUGGCAACAACUUAUGCAGGAUCGGACGUCUGGGCUCAUGCAGGCGACGGUGAUGCUUCUCAGAAGCCGUGAUGGGCGGCGUCCAGCGGCUGGGAAUAGGAUGUGUCUGCUGUCCUCUUAAACUCUUCUCUCUAUUUGGCUCGUGUGGGUCAACAAUGAAGUUUAUCGCCACUCUGUUUUGAGAUUUUGGGAGUUUCUGGCUCUGUAGGACUAGAUAUUUGGUGGCAUCAGGUUUUCAACCCAUACAGUUCCGACCGAGCCGGCUGGGACACAGUAGGUUUCCUGGUGGUGUCAGGAUCCGCUUCUCCCCAUUCUCUUGUGUUUUUCUUCCUGUAAAGCUCUAAAACAUUGUUAUUUCCGUUUCAAUGAAAUGAAAAAUGAUGGUCAUCCGAAAAUAAGCUCUAAUGCAUCCAACCAAAAUAUUGUCAGGUAGAAUUAGGUACCAAAUUAGUCUGUAAAAGCGACCCCACCAGCCUCCAGACCACACAAGCCACACCACAAGUGAAAAAAAAAUGCCUAGCAGAUUCCAAUUGAUCAAAAAAAGAACACACAGGAGAACCAGACCAAUUCUUUUUCCUUGUGUAUAAAAGCCAUAAGAAAAUUUGAAUUUUCAGGAGAAUUUUUGCUUUCCAAAUCCAUCUAUGAUGGCUGCCAUGAAUAUUUCUUUCCAACCACUUAUACAUUGAUCUCACAGAAUAUACUUCUCCAAGGACCAGCACAAAUUUUCUGGUCCAGUAAAAUAAAGAUCAGAUGUUUUGCUUUUUGUUGGAUUUUACCAUGUAUAUCUUCUUUUUGGUUAAUCCUUCAUGUUCUUUUAGUAUAUAAUUGUCUGAUUUUCAAUAACCAGUUCUCAUUCUGUUCUGUUUUAUACUUUCACCAAAAUGGGCAGCUUUGAUCUUUCUGCCAAAAUAAUUUCGAAACGAUGUGAUGAGUAUUUAAAUCCUUGAAGGUAAUAGGAGGAAGAAAUUCUCGCAAAAAAAAAAUAAGCGGAAGAAAUACAUCUCAAUCAGGUCAAACUCCAGAUUCAUAGUCAAGUCUUCCCCGGCCGAAACCGAGAGUGAUGUUCACCAUCUCAAUCAGUGGAACCUCCACCACUCACGAAAGCAAUCAUUCACGACAGGUAGAUAAGAACAAAUCAGCCAUCAUACACUACACCUCAUGCACCUCAGUCUUAGACAAAUUUACUAGCAAAAUGCCUUCCACUGGCUGGCUUAUAUUACUUCUCCUUGUUCUUACAAAGCUCACGUUCAGUGGUGUCCAUGGCAAUCUUCCUAGAAAUUCUGUCCAUUGCCUUCCAGACAAGGCUGUGUCGCUCCUUCAGCUGAAGCAAUCCUUCUCCUUCGAUUUCUCUACCACCACCCUCCCUUCAUGGCAAGCCGGUACCGACUGCUGUCUUUGGGAAGGCAUUAGCUGCGACGUCUCCUCCGGUGAGGUCACUGCCCUCAGCCUCGCCGGUCGAGGCCUGUAUAGCUAUGGCAUAGACAGUGCAAUCUUCAAUCUCACCUCCCUGCAGCAUCUUGACCUUAGCAGGAACAAUUUUGGUGGGUCACACCUUCCGGAUGUCGGGUUUGAGAGGCUCUCUUUGCUCACCAACCUCAACCUCUCUGGUUCAGGUCUCUAUGGCCAGAUCCCUAUCAGCAUAGGGUACCUCACAAGUCUCGUCUCCCUUGAUCUCUCCAACAGAGACGUGACUACUUACUUUGCAAAUAUGUUGGUGUUGUGGGAACCGAGUUUUAUGGUGUUGGUGGCAAAACUCACCAAUCUAAGGGAGCUUUACCUAGAUUGGGUGGAUGUAUCUGCUAGUGGAGAAGAGUGGUGUGGUGCCCUGGCAAGACAUGUUCCUCAUCUUGAGAUUCUUAGCUUGGACCUAUGUAGGCUCUAUGGUCCAAUUCAUGUGUCCCUCUCAAGAGUUCGCUCGCUUUCUGUGAUUAACCUCCAUAGUAACUACAGAAUAUCUGGUGCAGUUCCGGAUUUUUUUGCAGAUUUCCAAAAUCUAAGUGUUCUUCAGCUUGGUGAUUGUCGUUUUGAUGGGCUAUUUCCUCCAAGGAUCUUUGAACUAAAAAAACUGAGAGUCCUUGAUUUGUCCUAUAACUCAAACAUGUUGGUUCACCUUCCAGAUUUUCUGAAUGGAAGUUCUUUAGAGAUAUUAAAUAUACAAGAUACAAAUUUCUCUACUGCCAGCCCAAGGUCCUUCAGCAACCUCAAGUUUCUCGAGGAGCUACACAUUGAUGGGAAAUAUAAAUACCUCACGGUGCUUCCUCCAUCCUCAUUUAAGUCCUUGAAGAAGUUGCACUUGUCUCAGCUAGAAUCAGAAACACCAGCCUCCUGGCGGAUUGGGGAAGCUCAGAACUUAACAUAUUUGGAAAUUUCAAGCAGCAACUUCUCCGGGAGAACGCCAUCUUGGAUUGACAAUCUCAGAAACUUGAGGAAAUUGCAAAUCUAUGACUGCAUCUUCUCUGGGCCUAUACCAUCAACAAUUGGGAAUCUGAUGAAUUUGACAGAUUUGGCACUUCAGAAUUGUGGUUUUUCUGGAAGAAUACCAGCAUGGGUUGGUAAUUUAACCCAACUAUCUUAUUUGGACCUUGACACGAAUCAUCUGAGUGGUAAGUCUACAUACCAAAAUAUUAUUCCAAUCACCACAAAUCUAUGAUGUAACUGCACAAUUUAGUUUUAUGAGAUUUUUUAUUGAAAAGAAGUGUUUUACUUAGAUUUAUUUAUUGAAAUAAGUGUUUUAAUGAGAUUUUUCUUUUCAAAAAUAUUAUUGCACGGAAAUCACAUUUGAAUGUGUUAUGGGUGCUUUAAAAAUUCAUUUGAUGGACCUAUAUACAGUGUACUAUAGGAUUACACCCACCAAGUUAGUGGUUAGUUCUGAUUAAGUGGUCAAUAUGGGAAUAUACUGUUUCAUUUAUUUAGUUUUGGUUACUUCAAAAAAACUGGAAAGUGAAGAUCAGGGGCCAAUUAACCUAAGAGCGAGCGUGCCGGCGAAUACGAACCAAGGCCCCGAGAUAGUUAUAACAGUAUAGGGGCCAAUUAACACAAAAUCCUUUUUAUCCAGUAUUAAUUUGGAACCACGUGCAUCUAAAGCAUCCUUUACAAAAAUCAAUGUAGUUGUAUGCAACCUAGAGCAAUAGCAUGAAGAACACGACACGAACACGAAGAACAGUUAGAACAGAACGUAAUAGGAACACAAGCUAGGAAACAAAGCGGAGUCGAGAACAGAAUCACAGUAGAUGUAAAUGAUAGCCCUUUGGGUCAGAUUGUUUUGCAUUGAAUUAGUUUAACUUGUCCUGUCGCCAGUGGGCCAGGGAAGGUACAGCGGCCAAAGAAAUACACAAGCUGUCAAGCUAUUCUGCUGGUGGCGACAUUUCGUAGAUCCGUAGAGGAAGUUGUGCUUAGCACCGACGAUUGUAUGAUAUCAAUAUGUUACGCAUGUGAAUCCUAUUCUGGUAACUUUAUUUCUGAUGCAAAUGAAGAAGAAUGAUUGGAGCAGAUUUUAACUGAACUGACAUUUAUUUUGCUUAUUCUCAGGGGAAAUACCAGAUUCCAUAUUUACUCUUCCAGCAUUACAGAUGCUGGAUCUUUCUUCAAAUCGACUUUCUGGCAAGCUAAGGGACUUUCUUGCUUCAUCUUCUUCCUUGUAUUGGAUUGACAUGACUGACAAUGAAUUGGAUGGGUCAAUAAAGUCACUCAGCCAACUAAAAAGAUUGCAUGCACUCUUUCUCGGUUCUAAUAACUUCAUGAUAGAUCAGGUAGAGCUCAAUUCGUUGUUGGGAUUAAGAGAACUCCGGGCACUGGACCUGUCAAAUAAUAGGCUGUCAGUAAUAGAGGUGACAGAUGGACAAGGAGUUUCAGUUCCUUCUGUAUCUCGACUUCAAGUUUUGGACCUAGCAUCCUGCAACCUAACUAAAAUUCCAGAUUUUCUACAGUUUCUGCACCAUGUCGGUUACUUGGAUAUUUCUAAUAACCAUAUUUCCGGCAGUAUACCUAAGUGGAUAUGGGACAAUUGGAGUAAUACACUUCUCUAUCUGAACUUGUCAAACAACAAUUUUUCUAGCAUGGAACUAUCUUCGCCUUUUCUUCCAAAAGCCCUACAAAUUAUUGAUCUUAGCUCCAAUAGACUCCAGGGAAAGGUCCCUAUUCCACUGAAGCCAACAAACCUACAGUUCUUGGACUACUCAAAUAACAGAUUCUCAUCAAUCUUAAAAAACUGCACCUCAUGCCUUGGAAAAACUUUCUACCUUAAGAUGGCAAAUAAUAGAAUAAGAGGAGAGAUCCCACACUUCAUUUGCAACGCGAGCAAGCUUGUAAUUCUUGAUUUAUCUAAUAACAGUUUCAGUGGAACGAUUCCAUCAUGUCUAAUACAAGGUGGCCAUCUCAGCAUAUUGAAUUUGAGGGACAAUCACCUCGAAGGAAGACUAGCAUCUAGGGUUGACAAGAGAUGCGCUCUUCAGACAAUAAAUUUGGGUGGAAAUAGGAUUGGAGGUCAACUUCCCUGGUCACUUUCUAACUGCAAGGAUUUGGAGUUUCUCGAUCUGGGUAACAACCAAAUUGUUGACUCUUUUCCACAUUGGUUGGGAAAGCUUCCCAAGCUUCGCAUUCUGGUCUUGAGAUCAAACCAGCUCCAUGGCACAAUAGAAAAUUCUCCAGGAGAUGAUGACUAUGGAGAACACUUUUCAAGUAUGCAAAUAAUUGACGUUGCCUCGAACUAUUUCUCUGGCAAUCUGAGGUCACCAUGGUUUGAAAAUUUACAGUCUAUGAUCAAAAGUUCUGAUUUCGAAGGAGACAUUAUAAAAGCUCAAAACGUGACAGGAUCUUAUCAAGAUAUUGUCACCGUAAUGUUCAAAGGGCAGUACAUGACAUUCGAGAAGAUAUGGACCACUCUUACAAUGAUCGACUUCUCGGAUAAUGCAUUCACUGGUUCCAUUCCUGAAUCAUUUGGAAGACUUGGUCAACUACAUGGACUCAACCUGUCAAAUAACAUGUUGACAGGAGAAAUUCCAGCACAACUAGGUGGUAUGACUGCUCUGGAGUCAAUGGAUCUAUCUUCAAACGAGCUUUCUGGGGAGAUACCAGAGGAGCUGACAGACCUCACUUCUCUAGGUACCUUGAAUUUGUCCAACAACCAAUUCAUCGGAAAAAUACCGGAAUCGCGCCAAUUUGGAACGUUCCAGAACAAUUCGUAUGAAGGGAAUGCAGGACUGUGUGGACCGCCCUUGUCCAAACAGUGUGACAGCCAAGGAGGUGGACCAAUUGGAGUGCUUGCGAGCAAGUCCUCAGAUCAGGUUGAUGUCAUUUUGUUUCUCUUCAUCGGCAUAGGAUAUGGCCUUGGGUUUGCAGCAGGUUUACUAAUCAAAUGGAGUCGCAUAGGCAAGUGGUUCAGGACAACAAACACGUCUUGAUAGUGCGCAAGCAAAGGUUUGUCUGCGGAGUGCAACUAUGCCUAUGCUGAAUUUUGAAGUAUUUGUUGUACUUACAUUGUUGUUAUCAGCACCUGCAGCUUCAUAAUUGCAGCAAAAAAAAAUGUCUCUACUGCAAGUUGUCUUUCUGUUGCUAUCAGUGUCUGUACUCAGCAAUCAAAACUUUGUACUACGUGAUUUGCAUGUUCAAGAACGAUCUAAAUUUCCGUAUAUUUUUAAGGCAGAUUUUAUUUCGGAUGAAAACCUAAAAUGUACAUGAAAAUUAGUUCUGGGCUCACAUUAGCGAUAUGUACAUAUAGGUAAAGGAAGAACAAUUGUAAAAUUCAGAUUUCAUAUAUUACAUGUCUUAAUUGAACCAGAGUCCAGAAACAGGACCAUAAUAAGCUGAACAGAAACAAAUGAUUCUGAAUCUGAAUGAACAAGCAUGCCAAGAAGAGAAGAGACCUGUGAACCUCUCUUGUUCUCGAGGUGGGUGCUCCAUUCCCGCCAGCCAUGGUCUACCUUGAGUGAUUCUUCCGCCCAUCACGAUCACGAUGCCUCCAACGGCCGGCUCCUGCGCCCUCCUUCCUUGGCGGAGCAUCUAGGCGACGCGCCGCCCAAUGUCGUGGUGCCCCCACCCGCGACUUGACGGCUGCGGCGAAAGGACGUGGCCGGCGGCGCGUAGAAGGCCGCCGGAUUCCCAUAAAAAAGAAGCGUGCGGCAGCAGCGCAUCUCCGCCGGUCGCCGGAGAGGGAAGGGGAAAGGCUUCGAAGAAAAAAGGGUAGCGGGGAUGAUACUUGAGCCGGUCUUUCUACGCUCUUGUACAAGGCGACCAAAAAGAGCAAAAUGCACCGUAGCUUGUAAAACUACGAAAGAUGUGUCAAUUCGGUCCUCACGACAUAAGUUUGUAAUGCAUUUUUAGUGGUCAGCUAAGUUAGAUGCUCUCUUCCUCCAAAAAAUACAAACACAAAUUGAAAAUUAAGUGAAGAAAGAAUUGACACGGUACCAUUGUACAAAACCAAAGGUUUCAAUAUACCACUCAAAUAAACAUCCUUUCCAAAAAACCACUACAAUUCAGUUUUUCAUGCCAAAAUGCCGCUAUCGUCAAUUGACUGUUAGUCAAAGUGGUAGAAAGAUGCCAGUAAUCUUACUAUUUCAAUAUUAUCCUUCUCCUUCCUCAUGCGACACGAUAAUGGCAACUCUCUACUGUAAUGGUAGAUCGUAGCUUUGUUUUUUUUCUCAACGUGCGCAACUCUGAACCACUAUCUUUUGUUUGCUGCUAUCUAAAUGCUACUGAAAUGUUGAAGGUUGUCCAAUUGAUGUCGAAAUUUGUCCAAAUGUGCUACUAAAAUCUGUCCAUAUGUGUUGCCGAAGUGUUGUUGAAAUAUGUCCAUAUUAUUGUUGAAAUGAUGUCUGAAUGUGCUGCUGAAAUGCAAGCAAAUGUUGUUGAAUUGUGAAGAGGCGAGGGUAUAUAUGCAGGGACGGAGUCAGAAAUUUGACAUGAGGGGGCGAGUUGGGAUUAGGGGGGCGAAAUUAAAGUCUUCACCUAUUUUAAAGUGAUUUUUAAUGAGCUGAUUAGUAAGUAUUAACUAAAAUGAGUCCAUUUUUGUGGUUGUUAGGGGUUGUUAGUCUUUAGUGGUAUUUUGACAUGAAAAACUGAAUUGUAAUGGUAUUUUGGAAAGGGUGGUUAUUUGAGUGGUAUUUGAAACCUUUGAUUUUGCAUAGUGGUACCAUGUCAAUUCUCUCUCAAGUGAAUGUUUUCUUGUUGAAGUUUAUGAGUUUUAUUAUGGAGUAAACAUUGAGUAGAUAUGCAAUUAAGAACCAAUUUGACAAGGAGUAACGACGAAACGGAUAUAUGUGAUGGCAGCUCAAUGAUCAUUGAUCAACUUAUUUUUGGAUUUCUCAAAUUAGAAUUUGUCCUUAUAUUUUUUUGAUCGAGUGAGUAGAAUAAAACAGAACCUAAAGUUUACUGGCUCCUCUCUGUAUUUUCCCACCUGAGCUCACAAUCACAAACAAUGUGAUUCUAAGGCGAUCGGAUUCGGCGAUUGGAACUUCGACGAGCUCGCAAACGCUUUGAACUCCUGACCAUGGUGGGAGGAGACUGAGAAGUCUAGAAAUAACAGAGAGAACGAAGAAAGGGGAGGAGGCCGUGAGAUAAAUGCAAAAUGACCAAAUGCUUCCGGUGAAUUUUCCUGCCAAAACCGACCCUUUCUGUCUGGCGUUGGUUAACGAGCUACGUGGACAAGUUAGGUCCCGAUGGGACUUACUACUUUUGUUUCACAAAACACAUGUAGAUUUGUUCAUUCGGAUAAAAUCAGCUCUCAUUUCUAAUGUCUCACUAUUUAUAUUGAUUAUUACUAAAUGAAUGUAAACUAUUAUUGGCCGGUUGCGGGAGCCAAGAGAAAAAACGAGCUAUAUUAUUGAACAAAUCAGGAAAAUCUGUGUGAUUUGUUUUGUGAAAUGGAGGGAGUAUGAUGAAACACUUGAUACACACGGUUAGAACUAAAAUGUGCAUUUUUAUACUUUCAGGACUCGGUUGAUACAUUUCACAUGGUUUUACGAGCUUUGAUGCAAUUAACUCGGACAAAAAUGUACCAGUAGAAACUCCAAAUAUUGAGUUCUCUUAAUAUAUUUCAUCAUUUUUUUAACUAGUACCGUGGCCCUCUCAAAUAGGAGGGCAAUAUAUUUAGUGUGUACAUAGAAUUAAAUGUUCCAACUCAGAUGAAAAGGUCACAAUGAUAAACACAUAAACUUUACGAUCUUUCAUCAUGUCCUUACUUCCCUAAUACCAAAAUACAUCAUGUUUUAGACACGGGCAGCACCUAAAAGACAAAAUUUUGGCGUUCUGCUUUGUAUGAACAUGCUACUAAUUUUUUGAAAAGAUGUAUAAUUAUACAAUAUUUUCAUGAUUAAUCUCAUGGCCUUAAUUUGGUCUCUCACAAUAAUGUGUUUAUACAUCGAUAGUUAAAGUUAGAGAAAUAUGAAAAAAAAAAGCUUUUGAGGACAACAAUCUAUCUUUGAACGGAGGUGUUGUUGUUGUUGUUGUUGUUGAUCUAUAAGUGCUAUCUGAUCCACUCCUCAAUUCAGCUAUUGUACAUUCUCGUUCCCUUAUAUAUGUCGUGUCAUGUAACGUCAUUAUAUCUCCUUAGUCUUGGCUUGAAUGCAUGGCAUAGUCCUGACAAUUAAUAAUCUCAUUCAAAAAAUAGUUAUCCAUUUUACUUCACCUUUACCAUUCCCAGGACGAACCAAAUUUGUGGUGUGGCAAAAUCAGUAGCACGGCGACAAUGUACAACACAACAUUUCAUUCAUUGGGUAAUACGGGUGCGAACAUAUUAAGAUAAAGGUAAGUUACCGAAAAAUACCUCAUUAAGCGAAGCUCAAACAAAAACUCACCAUUAAUCUAAUAAAUCUAAGUAGGGGAAACCACUACUUAUUUCUCUCAUCAUGCAAGCAUGCCACAUCAUCACACAAUUAAUUAAUUUGUUCACACAUCUAUUUUUUGCACAUGCGUUACUUUCCAUCAAGCUAUUUCCAUUAAGUGAAGCAUGUAUAAUCUAUCAUACAAUUACAUUAUAUGUUUUCAAUGCAUACUCUUUUGUUGCUACUUUUUACUCAUGUAUGUUAACUAAGAAUUUCAUUCAACAACGUGGGCUCACGUAUGUUAACUAAAAGUUUUCGCGACAACGUGCGGGGAAUCAUCUAGUUUAUCUAAUGUAUCGGUAUAAAGACUAACAGCAACGUCAUACAUAGUAAUAGUACAUAGUUACAUACAGUAACAAACACUGAUAUACAUACCUCUAAAAUUUGCCGUGGCCUUGCAGCCCUUCGUCUUCUUUGAAGGUGUCGGGCGGAUGACCCCGGAUAGGGUCUUGGCGACACACAUUAGCCGAGAUGACGAAGGCAAAUCCGGCACAGGCAUGUACGUCGGCAUCCUUAAGACAAACUAAUGCUAAGCCGGCAUACCAAGUGUAUGCCGGCAUGACUAUCUUGUCUUAUGAGAUGGCAGGAUAAGGACGGAUACACUGAUCUCGGCCAGCGCCGAGAUGUCUUAACGGUCUUAUCCUCAUCGCGUGGCGCAAAGUAAAGCAACGCUAUCUUUAUCACGGAAAAGCAGUCGCUGCUUACGUUGUGAUGGCAGACGACCGCGCAAAGAAGCACCGAAAGAGAAUCAGUGACGGAAGCCGGCAGGCGGCUGGUGUACUUGUUGCAGAGCGUCAGGAAAAAUACAGUUGUCUUGUCCCCUGAGGUGCCACCCGGAGGGAACCAAGGCGCGUGCCCGGCGGGACUCAUAGAAGAUAACGUUAGCCCUUGACCCACAUGUCAGUGUGACAUGGGCGGUCCAUAAAUAGAGCACUACCCCUCCCAGGAGAGGGAUCCAACACUUAGGCAUCUAGGGUUUACCCCUUCUUCUUCUUAUUCUUCUUCUUCUUCUUCUUCUUCUUCUUCUUCUUCUUCUUCUUCUUCUUCUUCUUUCCUCAAGAACACUGCUCAAGGAGCGCCAUUGUAGAUCUUGUUAUCUCGGCUUAUUAAAAAAAGCAGGAGUAUGAGUCUUACCUCUACAAGAGGGCUCCGAAUCUGGGUAAAUCUGUGUGUGCUAGUGUGCUUGUGCGUGUUUCUCUUCACGUCCUCCCUCCUCCGGUUCCUCUUUCGUCCAUCGGCCCCAACUUAAGCCAUCCUAUGGCAUCUGCCGUGACACCACCACGACAGUUGGCGCCCACUGUGGGGCCAGCAGCGGCGCUGGCUGGAGUUUUCAUCCGGACGGAAGCUUCCUCGUCACCGGGGAGCGCGUGGUCUCCGGUUUGGUCUAGAGAUUUGGCUCUCUGGGCUUCAUCGACAACAACGCCGGCUGCUUCAACAACGCGCCGCUUCCUUGCGCAGGCCGCUUCAUCAACUUCGGCAUGCAUGAGGUUUAUGUCGCCACUGACAGUCCUUGCAGGUACCCCGAGCAGGUAGUGGUGGCCGAAGAUCCCCCCACCGUCUGCACGGUUCGCGGCCGGCAUGUCGACUGCCCCGCUGACCGUGUGGAGGUCAUGGUGACGGCUCACGGCGUCGAUGCUGGCAAGGGCACCGCAGAGAGCGGCACGGUCCCGAGCAAGUCCGGCAGAACGGCGAAGUUCCCUUUGGAGAAGCCGGAUAAUGUCGCUGCUCAAGCCGGCACGUCGGCUCUACCGCCAAAGUCGACUCAGCUCCAGGCCUCCAACGAACGGCUGACCGUGCCGGUGGCGUCAAACUCUAACCCGGCCCAGCUGCAGGCUGAGUUGGAGUUGGAGCGCCAGAAAUUGCUGAAGGAAGCUGUUGACGUGGCUCGCGCUCGGCAAGAACUUGAUAUUUCGCUCCGUAUAACAAAGCUCAUGGUUUCAAUUCUAUCGCAUUGACUAACCCUAGCCGAGUUGGGGAAGUGCGUAACCGAGGCAGGAACUUGAACGCCGAGAUAGCUAGAGAUUGCAGAGGGGUGCCUGCGGUGUCGGCAAGUUUUGCCUCGGCAUUGAAGCCGAGAUACAACACCCCUGUCAAGAAUCUCAGGGCCACCGAGGCUGCGGCCGAGGAGUUGCCGAAUCCCACGGGAGAGGCACUCCGGCUGUAGCAAUUGCGCGUGAAGGAGUUACUCCGCACGGCUAACGAGCAGAAUGAGGCAUACAUGAGAUUGCACGGCAAGCCCAGUGCGUCUCAGGUCAUUCACUCGGUAGCGGGCGCUGAUGGCCGGGCUGACAAGCAAGCGUCCUCGCCUGAUGGCAAACGGGACAAGAGUGUCAACUCAGGCCGAGAUAAGCGCCUAGAGCAUUAUGACCCGGUUCUGGCCGAGAAGCAAAUGGUCAAGAGAGUUGAAGACAGCCAGAGUGGUAUGCGUCUCGGCAACAAUCGCCGAGAUCAGCAAGAGCGUCACUCGGCUGGUCUUGGACACCGACCUCGGGGUCCGGCACCCAAUACUGUUGUAGGUCAGCAGGGUGUCGGGCGCAACCCCCUGUAUCGAGGUGAAGAUCGCCGGCAAGACCGUUACGAUGACGGGUACUCGGCCAUGGGUGAUGAGGGCUCUCUCAGGCAAGAACGCCAUAAUCUCGGCCCGCUCGGAGCCCGAAUUGGGAACAAACAAGUGUCGCCGCUGGAUGCCCAACAUCGGCUCGACAGAAUAUAUCUGUCAGAGGUUUUGGAAGAACUAGGCCCUUCGGGACAGCGUUGUUUCGCACACCGGAUCAUGAGGGAGACACCAGCCCAGGGUUUCCAGCUGCCCAGGGGUACGAGAACAUAUGACGGCAGUACUAAGCCGGAAGAUUGGCUGGAAGACUAUGUCACGGCGGUGCAUGUGGCAGGCGGCAAUCGCCGAUGGGCAGUACAUUAUGUACCCCAGAUGCUGGUAGGGCCGGCAAGGAUAUGGCUGAACAAUUUGCCGGAAGGCAGCAUCAAUUGCUGGAUAGACUUUGAGGAAGUUUUUGUCAGCAAUUUCACUAGCACUUACAAGAGGCCAAACCGCUCUCAGCGGUUCUUCAUGUGCAUGUGCAAACAAAGAGACAAUGAGACUGACCGGAAUUACCUGACAAGAUGGAACAACCUCCGCAAUUCCUGUGAAGGGAUAGUGGAAUCGCAAGCCAUAGCGUGGUUUGCCCAAUGAUGCCGACAUGGCAGCAUGUUAUGGCAAAAGCUGCAAAGAGAAAUGCCGGCCACUCUGUCUGAGAUGAUCAAGAUUGCCGACAUGUAUGCUCUCGGUGAUCCGACUCAGCCAUCAUUGAUGCCGUCAGAGCCGCAAAGGGAGCAGCCGAUAUACAACCCUGCUAGAGCAUUCCAGAGGAACGAUUAUCAAGAUCACCGCAACAAGAGAAGGGACGACAGGUCGGAUUACCGGUAUGGGCCAGCCCAUGUCGCCGCUAUUCAGGAUCAACCUGAUGCCGGCUCUAGCCAGUGUUGAAAGACUGAAAAUCAGCAGUGGGUCAAGAAAGGAGAGCAAAAGAAGCCCUGGCAAGAUAACCAGAAGUAUAUGUUCGAGGUGAUGCUGGAUCAGCCUUGUCGUUUUCACACGACUAAUCCCAGCAAACCGACAAAUCACACAACCCGGCAAUGCAACUGGAUGCAGCGGGCCGAGAAGGGUGAGGCAAGUCGGCUGCCCCCUCCUCCACCGCUCACAGGCGUUAACGCCCAGAUCCAAGGACCCCCUCCGACAAACAAUGCUGUCAAUCAGGUGGAAGACCAAGGUAUCCCGCAAUAUGCCGGAAGAAAUAAAUACAAGGAGCAUCACGAGAGCUACAUGAUUUUCAUCACGGAGCCGACUGACAAGCAGAGUCAGCGUAGGCGAGAGAUGGAAGUCAAUGCUGUGAUGCCGGCGGUUCCAAAGUUUAUGUACUGGUCGGAAUAGGAGCUCAACUGGAACCGAGCGGAUCAUCCCAAGGUUAUGCCAAAUCCUGGUAGAUAUGCUCUGGUGGUUGACCCGACACUCAUUGGGCCCGGCAUUAACGUCAAGUUCACUCGGGUUCUCAUUGAUAUUGGAAGAAGCAUAAACAUCAUGUACCGGGACACGAUGCUCAAAUUUUGGCAUUACUCAUAACAUGCUUGAGCCUAGCCGGACUACCUUUCGUGAUAUCGUGCCGGGAGUGUCUUGUGCCCCGGUAGGCAAGAUCCGAGUCGAUGUCUUAUUUGGCACCAGGGAGAAUUGUCGGACCGAGAACCUGGUGUUCGAAGUGGUGGACCUUAGCAGUCCGUACCAUGCGCUACUUGGCAGACCGGCAUUGGCCAAAUUCAUGGCGACUACCCACAUAGGCUAUCUGAAGAUGAAGAUGCCGGGGCCAAAUGGUACCAUAACCAUUACUGGCAACUACAAGCGUUCAAUGGAGUGCGCGGCGGCAGGGUCUGCCUUGGCCGAGUCACUGGUCAUCGCUGGUGAGAAGAAGAAGUUACAAGAAGCUGUUGCGAUGGCUCAAGCGGUACAGAUUGGCCUGCGGGCUAUGACCAAUCCCCAUGGGAGUGUGGCGUUUCAGGCAGCCAGGAGACGAAGAAGAUACAGGUCGACAGUGAAUUCCCGAACCGCACCGUCAUCAUUGGUGCCGGCCUGGGUGAAAAUAGGAAGGCGAGCUCACCAGCUUCCUCUGUGAGCAUCGGGACAUCUUCGCAUGGUCUAAUCAGGACCUGCCGGGUGUGCCGAGGGAGCUGGUUGAGCACUCAUUACAUGUCAGACCAGACGCUAGACCGGUGAAGCAGCCCUUUCGACGCUUCGCCGACGACAGAAGGAAAAUCAUAUCGGACAGAAGGAAAAUCAUAUCGGAAGAGAUAUCCCGGUUUCUAGUUGCGGGCUUUAUCAUGGAAGUAUUGCAUCCCGACUGACUGGCGAAUCCGGUCAUGGUCAAGAACAAGAAAAACGACCCAACUGCUGCCAAGGUGUGGCGCAUGUGUAUCGACUACACAGCCUGAACAAGGCAUGUCCAAAGGAUCCUUUUCCGUUACCUCGGAUCAAUCAAGUAAUCGACUCCACUGCCGGUUGUGAAUUGCUGUAUUUUGUAGACGUGUACUAUGGUUUUCACCAGAUACCGCUGAACCCUAAUGAUCAAAUAAAGACAUCAUUUAUCACCCCGUUCGGGGCUUAUUGCUAUCGCACUAUGCCGUUUGGUUUGAGAAAUGCAGGAGCUACUUAUCAAAGAUGCAUGCAGAAAUGCUUGCACGAUCAACUCGGCAAAAAUGUGCAGGUAUAUGUCGAUGAUGUCGUCAUAAAAACCAAAGAAAGCGCCACGUUGCUGGAUGAUAUCCGGAAAACAUUCGCAAAUCUGAGAAGAUUCCGAAUGAAGCUAAACCCGGCUAAAUGCACAUUCAGUGUGCCGGUAGGGAAGCUGCUCGGGUUCCUGGUAUUGAGCCGAGGUAUAGAAACGAACCAUGUGAAAAUCGCCGCCAUAGAGAGAAUGAAACUGCCGAAAUGUCUCAAAGAUGUGCAGAAAUUCACUGGAUGCCUAGCAUCGCUAAGUCGUUUCAUUAGUCGGCUGGGUGAAAAGGCAAUGCCCUUAUACCAGCUGAUCAAGAAAACCGACAAAUUUGUGUGGACGCAACACGCAGAAGUAGCCUUUCAAGAACUAAAGAAGAUGAUUGCUACAACGCCAAUAUUAGCCUCACCAAUGGAGAAAGAGCCGAUGUUAUUGUACAUAGCAGUAACAAAUCGAGUCGUUAGUGCCGUCAUAGUGGAGGAAAGAGAUGGAGAUGGCAAAUCAGUGCAAAGGCCCGUAUAUUAUUUGAGCGAGGUGUUAUCGUCGUCUAAGCAGAAUUAUCCUCAUUACCAGAAGAUGGCAUACGACGUUUAUAUGGCGGCAAAGAAACUGAAGCAUUAUUUUGAUCUGCAUCAGAUUCGGGUUAUAUGUGAGGCACCCAUGUCAGAAAUCAUGAGCAAUAAAGACGCAAGCGGCCGGAUCGCAAAAUGGGCUAUCGAGUUAGCACCCUACACGCUGCAGUAUGACAGACGGGAUGCCAUAAAAUCUCAGGCUCUCGCGGAUUUCCUGGUACACUGGGCCGAGAUAGAAUAUGAGCCACCACCGCCUGAAACUGGCUAUUGGAAGAUGCAUUUUGACGUCUCCAAAAUGAGAAGUGGGCUUGGUGCUGGCAUAGUAUUAACUUCGCCUAAGCGCGACCAACUUAAAUAUGUGCUGAAAAUUCAUUUUGCGGCAUCCAACAAUGUCGCCAAGUAUGAGGCACUCGUGCACGGACUAAAGAUGGCAAAAGAAAUUGGAGUUUGUCGGAUUCAAUGCUUUGGCGACUCGGACUUGGUAGUUCAGCAAGCUUCCGGCAAUUGGGAUGCAUUGGAUGCCAAUAUGACACUAUACCGCUUUCAUGUUCAGAAGAUCAGUGGUCAUUUCGAAGGGUGUGACUUCCAUCAUAUACCGCGGGCGGAAAAUGAGGCAGCCGACACGCUGUCGAAGCUCGGCUCAACGCGACAAGCUAUCCCGGCUGGUGUGGCAUUGGAGCAUUUACGCAAACCAUCCAUCAAGCCAUCACUAGAAUCGGAGUCAAUCUUUAUCCCGCCGAUCUCAGAAGCUGACAUCACCCCAAUGGACAUUGACAGUGGUAGCGGUUCCGGUAACUCAGUGACUGAGCGCCCUAACUCGGCGGAAGCAAUGGCGGUUGAGCCAAUGGAGAUAGACGAACCAGACGAGCCGAUCUUUGCUACUCGUCCCGUGCUGGCCUGGGCACAACCGAUAAUGUCUUAUCUCAAAGAUGGGAGUCUCCCGGAAUAGUAAGUGUCGGCAAGGCAAAUUUAGAGAAGGGCAAAGGCAUACACUAUACAAGAGAAGUGUUACUAACGUCUUGCAGCGAUGUGUCGAGCCGGCAGAAGGGCAAGAGAUACUCCGAGAUAUUCAUCAGGGAGAGUGCGGUCACCAUGCGUCUUCAAGAACAUUGGUUGGCAAGGCAUUCCGGCACGGUUUCUACUGGCCGAGUGCGAUGCAAGAAGCAGAAGACAUGGUCCGGAAAUGCAAUGGUUGCCAGAGAUAUGCCAGCAAGAUUCACAUGCGGCAUCUGAGCUCAAGACUAUUCCAAUCACUUGGCCAUUUGCUGUUUGUGUUUGGAUAUGGUGGGACCUUUCAAGCGGGCGCGAGGAGGCAUGACACAUUUCUUGGUCAUGGUUGACAAGUUUACUAAAUGGAUUGAAGUGAAGCCGAUACAAAAGUGUGACGGCAAGACUGCGGUAUCAUUCUUAAAGGACAUCAUCUUGAGGUAUGGUUACCCGCACAGUGUCAUCACGGAUAAUGGAACGAACUUUGCGGAAGGACCUUUUGCGUGAUUUCGCGCGGAAAAGAAAAUCCGGCUGGACAUCGCCUCCGUGGCACAUUCUCAAUCCAACGGACAAGUUGAGAGAGCAAACGGCAUGGUUCUAGCCGGCAUAAAACCUAGGUUGAUUGAGCCACUGGAACACACUCUAGGAUGUUGGUUAGAUGAACUCCCAGCUGUGCUAUGGAGUCUUAGGACAACCCCAAAUCGCUCUACAGGCUACACGCCAUUUUUCCAUGUAUACGAGGCGGAAGCUGUCUUACCAGCCCACAUUGAACAUGACUCUCCACGAGUGACCAUUUAUACGGAGGUGAGGUAAAAGAGGCCCGAGAAAAUGAUGUCGACCUGCUCAAAGAAGCAUGGGAAUUGGCUCUAUCUCGGUCAGCCAUCUAUCAACAACACCUAAGGCAUUAUCACAGCCGGAGGGUAAACCCGCGAGUAUUCCGGGAAGGAGACCUCGUGCUCCGACUUGUGCAGCGCACAGCCGGCAUGCUUAAACUAUCACCCCCAUGGGAAGGAUCCUUCAUUGUGAGCAAAGCGCUACACAACAAUUCCUACUAUCUUAUAUAUGCGCAGGAUCCCAAAGCAAACAGGAUGGACAGGUCUGGCGAGGAGACCAAGAGGCCAUGGAAUGUAGCUUUACUUCGUCUGUUUUAUAUUUGAAAGAUGAGUAUUUGUAUCGCUUUUUCCUUUAUGUUGAAUGUUUUGAAAAAAUGAAAUUAUCUGCCGGGUUCUUAAAAAGGACUCGCAGACUCCCAUGCUAUUUAAGUGUUGUAUUGCAUUUACCGUUUUGUAUGUCGGCAUGUCUUAGUUGUGCAAUCUUAUGUCGGUUGAGUAGUCUGUCGGUAUUCAAAAUCCCCUCUAUGACUUCGUUGUUGUGCGCAACGCAGCUUCAUGGCAAGCUAGAGAUUGGGUACGAGAUAACUGAACACAUGAAAAACGAUUGCGGAAACAAACAAAAAAGCGAGCCGAGAUGCGCGUCGUUUUACUUAACUCGGCAUUUCAUUCUUGUCUCGGGUAUUUCCAAGCGAAUUUGUCGAGUUUAAGUUUUUUGAAAGGAUUGUUCUAUGAAUUCGUGAUUCAUACGUCGAACGCCGACAAGGCAGACAAAAGAACCGAAGUCCUAAAAUCACCAACAGAAAAAAUAGACACGGGGACUCGGUUGGGAGAUCGGUAAUUAAAAGACUGAAAUAAAUUAAAAGUAGCUUCAUAGAACAAAAGUGUUUUAACCCGGUUACAUCUGCACCCGGCAUCCCGGGGAUCUGAUAAAUUUAGAGCAUUUUUCCGGCUUGACUAAGAAGAAACAGAAGGAUUGGCGGCGCCGGAACUCGGAGCAUCCGUUGCAGUAGAAGCCGACUCGACGACAAUCUCUUCGUCGACUUCUUCUUCGUCGUCUUCCUCGACCAUCUCCGCAUCUGCUUCUGACACCGGGCCCUCCACAAAUUUAUGCACAUCGGCAUAUUGGAUAAAGGAGUAGGCCCGCUGCUGCCGCUUCGUGAUGAGUUCCGGGUCUGAGAGGAAAGGGGAGCCGACUUGCAUCGACUGCAGCACGUCGAGGUUGAUGCCGUCGUACCAAGAGAGUACAAACGACAAAGCCUCGUCGGCACCGACACAAGCGGCCGAUUCCCGCCACUCGUUCAGCCGGUCCUCCACCUCCAGAAGGCGCUUCGCCAAUUCCGGGAUGCCGGUCGGAGUUUCUUCUCCCGGCCACAACGCUCGGAAGGCCCGGAUGCCGGCGUUGAGCAUGUUUACCCCGAACGACUUCAGAUGCUUAACCCGGCUUGCAAUGCUGACCAAGUAAUCCUCCAAGUCAUAUUCGAAGGGUACUGCCCCAGCUGGAUCCCUCCUUCUACGGGCCUUGAUCACGGCAGCUUGGGCAGUCUCAACAGAAUGUGGGAAAAAUUCUGACAAAGGCAAAAAGAUCGUAAUGAGUCUCGACACUCCAUUGCUGCUUUCGGACAAAUGAUCAGAGGAAGAGACUUGGUCAAGGGCAACUUACUAGUCAGCAUUGCGUCGAUUUUGAUGAGGUCACGCCGGGACACGCUAAGUAGGCGGGCGUUCUCGGCCUUCUCCUUCUCGACAGCAGUGGCGCGAGUCUCGACCUUGGCGACAAGAUCCUUGCAUUUCUGCACUUCGCCUUCUAGGCAGAUCUUCUCGUCAGCUUGGGCGGAGAGAGGCGAGGUAAGUUGACCUACCUCGGUGUUAUGCGCCUCCGCCUGAGCUUCGAGCUGCGCUUUCUGCCGGGCCACUUCGUCCCGGUGCUGCUCUUCUAGCCGAGUUUUCUCAUCUGUUUAGCAGACGUGUGUUAUAGAAGUUUGAGUUUAAGAUGGAUGAAACCUGAGAUAAGGACAAGCCUAUACCUUGUACUUCGGCGACACGCUUCAAGAGCUCAGAUACUUGAACAUUGUCCCCGGCUGUAAACAAGAGCACGUAUCAGUUUUUGCAGUGCAUUAAUACUCGGACAAAUUCUUUAUGUAGGUAAAAAUGUACUUACUCUGGCUCUGGCGCUCGGCUACCAAGGCCUUGUGCUCUGCCGCCAGCUUCUUGUGCUUCGCCAGCAGGACCUUAAAGGUAGCGGUGCGCUUGUUCAUGCAGGUCUGCAAGACAAUAAUCAACAGUUAAUUCUAUUGCAGGGGGAAUAAGUGUUUGAAGUUUCUAAGCUUCAGGCCGACUAUUCUAAAUCCGACCUGAAUCUCGGGGAAUAAGUGUUUGAAGUUUUUAAGCUUCAGGCCGACUAUUCUAAACCCGGCCUGAAUCUCGGGGAAUAAGUGUUUGAAGUUUUUAAGCUAUAGAAGAAGGUCUUGAGCCACUUUUUGCUGGACUCAAGACCUUGGAUCCGAGGAAAGGCUGAGCCUCGGCGGGGUAUCACGGUGGCGGCGCCGCACUGGGUCAUGGGUUUGGCGGCGCCGGGAUUCUCUUUGUCGAGGAGAACUUGGGGCCGGAACAUAAAGUAUUUGGCCCACAAGUCGACGGGAGGCCAGAGGCCGUGAUAGGCCUCACAGCAAGUGACAAACGCCGAGAGUGUGAGGAUAGCGUUUGCCGGAAGAUGGUGCGGCAGAAGGCCAAAGAAGUCUAAGAAUUUCCUAGUGAAAUCACUAGCUAGCAGAGCGAACCCUCGUUCAAAAUGAGCAAGGAAGACGACAUGCUCACCAGAUUCGGGUGCCGACACAGUCUCGUAACCGGGGGUCCGACACUCUACAUCUUCUAGAAUCCGCCGGGAGCGGCGGAGCCACUCGAUGUCUGCCGGGGAGACGUCGGAGCCUUCCUAGCCAGCUUGCUCCGAGCCCGUCUCCUCCUCGGUGUGCUGAGCAGCGAGGUCAACGGUGGCGGCAUCACGGGAAGAAGAAGCCAUUGUUGGAAACUAGAUCUAGGCUUAGCUUCUCCGGCGAAGAGGUGGUGGUGCAAGGCUCAAGCGAGCAAGGAAACGGCGGCAGAGAGUCAAGCGAGGGCGCACGAGGAUAUGGCGACGAGCUCGGUUGCUGGGAGCAAGGAAGCGCACCGGCGGAAGAUCUCGGAGCUAUCGGCAAUGGUGGAGCACGCAAGAAGCAGAGAAGAGCAGAGGAGAGCGAGAAGGUUGGGGGAGUGCGAAGGGUUUUUCUCCCUCGCCCCCUCCCUCUUUUUGUACCCGCAACGCACUAAAGGGGGCGCGGAUCUUUUGCGCCCACGAUGCCUGUGGCCAACGGAUGGGCCGCGCACGAUCAUGGGGGCAAUCAACCCCAUUAACGCGCAAGCGCUCGGUUACCACGCGGCGUGGCUCAGUUAAUCCCGUCGAAUCCGGGAGGAUAAGGAUCCGCGUGGGAACCAAAAUUCCUCUCUUAAUGGCCUAUCAGUUUUACUGUCCGAUGGGACGACGUGCUCGCCUCAAUGGGCGCGCCGGCAGUACUUCGGGUUUUAUCUUUCCGUUAUUUAUGCAGAGUGCAGAGUACAAGCGACAGGUGGCACUAAUGUCGGCAGAAACGAGUUUUUUGUUGUCGGCCAUGUAGGGGAAAAGAAUCUCGACUCAAUGCUGAAUAAGCACGCCAGCUCGGUAUGUCGGAAUAACUUGAUCUCGGCUAAGAGGAACUCGGGGUUGUCUCGGCAUCCUUUUUGGCUAAGCCCUGGUGAGCUUCGGUGGUUCCUGUGUGGGAAGUUGUCGUGGCCCGACAUUCUUCCCUGCCGGACCGCAACAGUUUCGGGGACUAUUAUCGGGGGGAUGACCCCGGAUAAGGUCUUGGCGACACACAUUAGCCGAGAUGACUAUGUUGUCUUAUGAGAUUGCAGGAUAAGGACGGAUACUCUGAUCUCGGUCAGCGCCGAGAUGUCUCAACGGUCUUAUCCUCAUCGCGUGGCGCAAAGUAAAGCAAUGCUAUCUUUAUCGCGGAAAAGCAGUCGCUGCUUACGUUGCGGUGCCAGGCGACUGCGCAAAGAAGCACCGAAAGAGAAUCAGUGAAGGAAGCUGGCAGGCGGCUCCUGUACUUGUUGCAGGGUGCCAGGAAAAGUAAAGUUGUCUUGUCCACAACGGUGCCACCUAGAGGGAACCAAGGCGCGUGCCCGGUGGGGCACAUAGAAGAUAACGUUAGCCCUUGACCCACAUAUCAGUAUGACAUGGGCGAUCCAUAAAUAGAACACUACCCCUUCCAGGAGAGGGAUCCAACACUUAGGCAUCUAGGGUUUACUGCUUCUUCUUCUUCUUCUUCUUCUUCUUCUUCUUCAAGAAUACUGCUCAAGGAGCGCCAUUGUAGAUCUUGUUAUCUCGGCUUAUUAAAAAAAACAAGAGUAGGAGUUUUACAUCUACAAGAGGGCUCCGAAUCUGAGUAAAUCUAUGUGUGCUAGUGUGCUUGUGCGUGUUUUUUUCACGUCCUUUCUCCUCCGGUUCCUCUUUUGUCCAUCGGCCCCAACUUAAACUAUCUUAUGGCAUCUGCUGUGACAUCUAAAAUUUCUGAUAUCUGAUAGCGUCCUAGCAGAGUAACAAUCUGCUAAUCUGCUUUGCUGCCGCCGCAGGCGGGCCUGCGCGCGGUUCACCGUCCUCGACGGGCGGUUGUGUUCCAAUUGCAACUCUGGUUGCCACGGUUGACCGUGCCCACCGUGGAUUAGGAUCUUGGGUUCUGCUUUUGCGACUCUACUCUAUGCUAGCGCCGAUCAGAAUUCAGAAGGAUGCAGACGCACACACAAGACGAUGUAACGAUCUCUGAUUAAAUCGAUCGAUCGGACCAAACCUUCACGUACGCUAACACCCAGACCUCUGCUAAUUGAUUGCGAGCUAGCAGUUGUUCCUAGGGUAGUACUGAACUACUGCAUGUACCAGCUGCGGCACGGCGCCGCGGCGCCAUCGUCACCAGACUCACCGUCAUGCGCGCGCACUCGCCUCUCCUAAUCGGCGUGUCCCAAUUUCUGUGUUGACCUUCGUCACGAUGAUCAUGGCUGUGAUCACGUUGUUAUUUCUACUUUCCUUCGCUAACAUGGAAAUUUAUAGUUUCUACUUUCCUUGGUUAACAUGGAAAUUUCUAGGGAAAAAGAUCUAACGGUUGUGAUCUAGAUGGGACGUUUGAUGUCCUGAUUUAUUUAGAUGCGAUUAUAAAGAUGCAACGGUUGUGAUCUCUCUAUAGAAAAAGGUCCACCCAAUUAAUGUUUUGCUUUUUUGCGAGAUUUUUGAGCCUCUCUAUUUUUUCCGUGGUUGUUCUGUCAUGUACUUUUAGUAUAUAAGACAUUAAUAAGACGCCGUGCAAACGAACCAGUAGCAUCAUCAUGCAUGCAUACAUGUACUAGGCAAAAGUCCAUUGUUUUAAAUGCUUUAACUCUUAAACUGUCAAGUUAAUUUAAGAUAUGUCUUCUCGAUUAAUUUUGUCUCGACGAGAUCUUCGAAACUAGAUCUCAUGUUGACAUGUUUAGACAAAUUUAAUUUUUGUUUUAAAAGUUUCCAUCCAAUAAUCUAUGAAGUUGCCAUCCUGUUAGUAACAAAGUAACACGUUGUAACUUUAUAUAAAAUAUGGUGGCGAUUUGUGUAUCAAAGGUAUUAUCUGAUAAUACGUAAAGUCACCACCCUGUAAUAUAUGAAGUUGCCGCCUUAUUAGUAACAUAAUACCAUGUGUCAACUUUAUAUAAAAUACGGUGACGACUUGUUUAUCAAAGGUACCAUCCGAUAAUACGUAAAGUCACCGCCCAAUAAUAUAUGAAGUUGCCACCUUAUUCAUAAAUAUUACCAUGUGGCAACUUUAUAUAAAAUACGGUGGCGAUUUGUGUAUCAAAAAGGUAUCCGAUAAUAUAUGAAGUUGCCACGUUAUUCGUAACAACUUACCACGUCGUAAUUUCAUACAGUAUAAAAUAGGAUGGCGAUUUGUGCAUCAAAGUUGUCAUCCGAUAAUAAUGUAAAGUUGCCAUCCAAUAAAAUAUGAAAUAUUAAUGUGUUAGUAAUAAAUUAGCACGUGGUAACUUUGUACGAAACAUUUUGACUCUUAAAAUAACUAGUAUGUAUAUAAUAUGCACUCACACGCUAGUUGCCAACAUAAAAUAAAAAUUACAUGCAAAGAGACAAAAGAGACAGUGCAUGCAAGCUGCAGGCUGUUCGCGCAGGCAGCUGAAUACAAUUCCUGAGUAGCAAAGGGGAAAAAAAAUCAUGCGUGCAAGCCACGCAAGUGCAACAGCAGCAGCAGUCAGCAUUGGCAGUAGCCCACUAGCGCUCGAUCGAGCGCGUCGCCCAGCCAGACAAGAGCGCGGACGUACGCGCGACAUAUUUUCCGUUUAGGUUUUUAGACAUCAAUCUGAUUAUAUGAAUUCACGUGAUUUAGUUUUCCAACAAUUUAAUUUUGUCUCUACUAAUUAUAUAUAAAGUCACCAACAUAUUCUUUUCAACGUCCACCUCACUAAACGUACACAGAUUAUUUAUAGUCCACAAUCAGACUUACUGAACACAGAUUACUUUUUAACCGUGUGCGUUUAGUAAUUACUCCCGGAGGCUGAAUUCCACAAAGCAUGAGAUAAGGUUGCACCGUCUGCUCUCUCGCAAGGAACACACCGGAUCCUCGCGCACCCCCGCUGCUUAUCAAGCCGGACUCCUUGCGCCCGCUCAAAUCUUCUCGCUGCUGCCGCCGAACUCCUACUCCUCCUGCCCCGUCGCCUCGCGGGCCUCGCACCGUCCUAUCCCUUGCCCCGUCGCCGCCCGUCCCCAUGCCCUUGUCGCGCUCCCCUGCCCGCCUGCCCUAUCCAUCAGUCAGCCUGGCAGGAGAAAAUCAGGCUCGUCCUCCGUCAAUGGCCAGUGCGCCUGGCCGCCGUUUCCGGCCAACUCCGCCGCCCCGCAUGCUCCACCCCAGGCAACGCCGCUGCUCGCCGUCAUUGCCGCCCCGCCCCAGGCGCCCUGUCCCGCCGUCGUGCGCCACGGCGACCAGGCCGCGGUCGUAGCACUCCCGCACCCCGCCCCACGCGCCCUGUCCCGCCGUCGAGCGCCCCGGUGCCCCGGCCGCGGUAGCCCUUCUGCGACCUCCGUCCCCCGGGCGCCACGCCGCUGCCCCACCGCUGCUCAUCACGACAUCACACCGAGGCCGCGUUAGAGGUUAGUGCUUCAAUCUCAUAUGAUUUGUUCCAUUGCGUUGUAUCCGUGUAGGUCUUUUCCAGCCCGAGGAGUAUAUUUAUUUGUAUUUUUUGUGAGAUAUUUGUAUUUUAUGAUGCAGAAAAUUAAGCAUGAGUUGAUACAUAUGCCCUACGAGUUAUGGGCUUAGGUUUUGUGUCAGUACCCCAAAAUAAACUAUGCGGAUCUUAAAGGCAAAAGUUAUAAGUGAUUAUGGAGAAUUCUGUACUAUAGACGGGAGCUAUAAGUCCCUAUCUGUUUACUACAAAUGAAUUGUGGUCUGUAUUUUAAAUACAUAGAUGAACCAAUGUCUGUAAAAAGCUUCUAGAUAUUCUUAAAUAAGGAGUAGAAACUUAUGACUCAAUGUACAUCCUCCACAUUCUUACAUUGGCAUACAUUGUUUGGUACUGUGCAUUCUUUCUCAGUUGUUCAGUUAGCUUGAACUACAUAAAUCCUUGGCUCUGUGCUGCUGCUGCUACUGUUAACAUGCACCGGAGAUGAUGAAAAUAUGGGAAGACAAUCCAAAAUACCUAUUGUCUCUUCGAAGGAAAAGAUCAAAGAGAGGGAAAAAAGUGAACGAAUAUAUAUCUUAUUUCCCACAAAUUUUAUGAUCUGAGGUUAAAUCAUAGUAUAGAUGUCCAUCUUAUUACAGACAUAUAUAAGAAAUAAUUAGAAGAGUUUUUUUAUGGCCGUGACCGAGCAUGCAUAUUCUUUUAGCUUAGACAUAUAAAUUAUCGAUGUUGCUGGUCUUUCUCAUGUAUGGGGUUGUAUAUCUGCAAGCAAGGAGAUGGCUGACCAUUUCUGCUGUGUUGCAGGUGCAGUUGUCCGUUCUUGUGAUGGAACUAUCUUUGAUGAUGAUUCAACACCGCUUGUUUGUUGUCAUACUUGGAUGAAUAUCUCUGACAGUUGGAAUUUGUUUUCAUGUUUGGCUUCAGUUAUGCGAAGGACAAGUGUUACUAUUAUACAUGGAUUGACAAGAAUGGCAAAUAAUCAUGGCUACUACUUACAAAGUUACAAACCAUAUUUUGGUGUUGGUCUGGGACCUUUGUUGGUAGCUUUGCACUUCUAAAUGAAACUUGGAUGGAUUUUGUCUGCCAGCCAUAUUAAAACAGUUUGUUGACUGUGCCACCAAUUAUUUAUUAUUGGGCUUAUGAAAUGUCAGUUAAAAUUAUAUUACAAUCGUCAUAAGAGUAUGAUGGAACAAUACAGACUAAAGUUGAGGAUAGCACAUCGUGAAAGAGUUGAUGUUGAACUGGGUUUCAGGUGACAACAGGUGAUUAUUUUGAGCUACAACUCUUUUUUAUUUUCGAGCUAACCGUAAAUAUUGAUGUAUUUUGUAAUGGAAUCUUCAUUGGUGUUACAUGCCUCAACACACAUAAGAGGCCUCUCCAACUAUCUCUUGUUACUCUCCAUAUGUUGCUCCGUAAUAUGGAAAAGAAAAUUGUACAGCUUAAAGCUACUACAAGAAAGACCAUCGAGUUGCAGCUUUCUAACAAAGUAUGUUUCUAACCAACAUGAAAAUAUAUAUCAAUACUAAUACUGUACUAACAUUUAGAUCCAAUGAAUUUAAGGCGAAUGACCAGCUUGGUCAGUGGUUAGUCCACCGUGCGUUGCACGGGCACACUAACUAGUUAGUUUAAUGAAAAACAACAAUACAUCAAGUUACCACCUCUAGCCGGUGGCUGAUGUAGGAUUAAAUGGGGUGCCAAACUAAAUGUUCAUAGUUCAAAUUACAUUUACACGUAUUUUUAACAGAUGUAUGCACUCCCUCCGUAGUAGAAUUAGAUUGAUGACUACAAGGUUAAAAAAUCUCCAAUUUUCCGGGGGUGCCAUGUGCACCUGUAGCUCCAUGCAUUCAAGAUCCCAUCGCUUGUAAUAUUGUGUAAUUUGUAAAGCUUUACUCCCAUGGGUUGGGUUUGAAUCAUAGAAACAUAACUGCAUAAGAUCUACUGGCUAUACUAUAUAUCUUGAUUUCCUACUCGACGAACUAGGUUACUAACAUACAACAAAUCCAAGACUCUGAAAGCAUGUCCUAGUAGACUAGCAGCAGCCCAGUGCUCUUUCCUUACUUCAAUUUCAAUUUUUCGAACUCCCUGUCCCAGUUAAGACCAGACAUUUGCCGUCCAAAGGGUACUAUAAGAUUGUAUCGGAAAACCUGCAAAAGGAGAAUCCCAGCAAAAUGACACCACAAAAUUAGUUAGCCAUUUUGAAGCAUUGACUAUACAUGUGAGACCUGGUAUGGAGCAGUACCUUGUCGUUUAUUUGGCGAAUUUUCUCCUGUAGAGCCCUGCGAUCAUCGUGCCAGGUAGAACCAUUUUGUUCACAGCGGUUUGCCCAAGCCUUCCUCAACACUGACCUCCAUCUCGCAAUCAUUCCACGGAUUUCCUUGUUAAGCUCUACCCAUUCUGGUGCACAACCAUUCUUCGAAAGUAUCCUGUAAAGGGUGUCUUCUGCAGGAUCUGCGUGAGGAUUUGUGGUGAGGUUCUGGGGCCUGCCCUUCCCAGGUAGGUUUUCAAAGUGCCCUUCCUCCAUUGAAUGCCAUAUUCUUUGUUCCACAACGUUCACUAUGUCAGUCUCAGAUCUGCAAAAUAGCAAGGAAGUUCCUAAUUAGGAACAAUCAAGAGUCCACAUGAUCGGUGAGACAGUAAUGCGCAGGCACCAAUGAGAAAAAAACCUAACCAACUGUCCAGUCUGAAGAAUUGCAUAUUGUUAUCAGCAUCGAUUUAUACAGGCCAAGAGAUUUGAAUGCAGUACUCCACCAAUGAUUGUCUAGGCUGUAGUGUGCACACGGAUAAUUAAACUGAGAGAUCGACAGACAAAUUACAGACAUCAGACAACUGGAUGUGUAUAUAGGGCCUUCAACAGCUGAACCAUCCUAAUCACUACACUGGGCUUGGCUCAGAACUUCCUGGGUUCAACAGUCCAAUAAAACGUUCAGAACAAAACCCAUGUUUUAUUACCACCAAGGAAAAAUGAUUACCUUAACUAUUACCAUUGACUAGAGAUUUCUUUCUAAUCAACGUUGAACAUCAUAUAGACGUUGGAGAGGCCUGAGGAUAUACAGCAUCCAAAUAGUGACCCACAAUUUGGUCAUCAUCACCCAGCCACAGAGGCAGCUUUGAGUGACAAUAUGUUAAGGACGGCAAACAUACAUAGCCAUAUUGUCAGAAUCUUAUGAGUAAACCACUAUGCUUUUGAGUAGAACAAAGAGUUCCACCGCAUGUACUCCAAAUCUGGAGGGUUACUGAAUAGGUUCACAGUUUAACAUGCUGACUUCAGAUGCUAAAAAAACUAAACUCAGGAAAACGCCAAGAUAUACCGAGGUAGUUAAGUUUCCAUGAGAGGUUAAUUGUUGUUGUUGACAUACUGAGCAUAAAUACAAAACUAUGAAGAUACCGCACUAUAAUGUAUAUCUGGUUAACCUCCGAUCCUAAAUUCUUGUUGUUUUAGUUCAAAUUUGAACUAAACAAUGACAACUAUUUAGGAUCGGAGGAAUACAAAAUAGAUCAAGUAAGUGACACAAACAUUAUUUUCCAUGUUUGGCAUGGUAGUUCUACUUCUAUUUGUCAGUUGAAACUGCAUUAUAGUUGUUGUUCUUACAAAACGUUAACCGUGUAAACUGUGUGAUAAGUGAACAUGCCUACAUAACCCCAGGAAACAAAUUUAUAUCAUAACUGAUAUAUAGCUAUCUAAUUGCAUAAAACUACCUCAGCGUAUCAUAUUUUUGCAGUACACUUACGUAACCAACAACAAUAAAUUGGCUGCAUUUGACACAAGUAUGCCUUCAUACUAAAUACUAUCACAGACUACAGAUGCAUAAAGGGAGCAUGCACAAUUGAACUACGUUGAUCAGUAUAGUGGGAAAAGUUCAGUUCCCCUUGGCUUCAACAGGUCAAUGAGACGUUCUAGAAACGAUCACAUUAUCACCUAGGGGAUGAAUUUUGAACAUGUCACAUCUUCAUGGAUGAUACCGCCGACAAUUUAACACAGAUAAAAGACCAAAAGUUUAUUACCGCCAGCUAGAGAUUGUUUCGAUGUUACACGCCGUCUGAAGUUGGAUAGGCUCUGAACAAAAGCAGCACCCAACCUAGUUUUGUUUUGCUGGUGAAGCAGCCAACAUCAUGAGCAGACAUUUGACCAUCAUUGCGAAGGCCCUGGAGGCAGCUUUCAGCAAUAGCAUCACAAGGACCAUAAAACCAUAUGCUUUGAGUAGAACAAAUGAGUUUCUCCCCAUGCACCUAGAUCUGGAUGGUAAUUGAACAGUUUUGAAAGAAUAUUCAAACUUGAACAAGCUGGAUUUUAGAAUUUCUUGUGGAUUUAGCUCACACACAAGGCGUUGGAGUUGUUGAAUAGUUUUGAAAGAACAGUUGAACAUGCUGGCUUUACAAUUGCAUAUUGAUUUAGCUCACACGACAAGAUGUUGGAGCUAGUUAAAUUUCCCACGUAGGUGUGGCAAAGCAGUUUUGGUGCAUGGUCUCUGCCUUCUUUAGGCAGCUAGGUCACUGUUUUGAGUCUAUUGCUGAGCUUUGGAUUGCUAAUAAAAAGUUGUCUGUCCUUCACUUGUCUGUGCUACAGUUCUUUGGAGCAUUUGGACAUUUCACAAUAGUAUAAUAUUGAAUAAUCAGUUAUGGUUGUCUGUUAAACAGAUCUGGUGUUUGAUCCUGCAGUCGCUCAGGAAAUGGUCACAACUGUUCAAGGAUUGCAUGCUGGACAGUAUGCACAGCUUCAGCCGAGCAGUUUCCCAGAUUUUGGGGGCACCUUUGGCGCUGGCCUGGAGCCCUGGAGCUGAGGAAGGCAAGUCCUUGCCAUUCUCAAUCACCUGUUCUGUUUUCAAGUUCGCCAUCUUCUGUUGUUGCUGUUUCAACAUCGGAACCUCCGGUGAAGACUGCGGCUGACCGCAGCCCCUACUCUGUCCUCGACUGUGCCCCGACUCCCUCUGAGCUGCUGCAGCGAGACCUGCUCAGGAACAAGCUGGGGUUGGUGGUUCGGCGCUUUUCUGAAGGCGCCGGCAAGCUUCAGUUUUUGAGCCGGAUGUUUGUUCCACUGCAUUUUCAGUUUGUUUUUCAGUUUAUCUUCAGACUGCGGUUACAGCUGAGUAGACUUGUUUACCUUUUCUGGUUACACUCUGAGGGCCUCCUGUCGUUCUAAAAACUACGACGUAGGUCAGGUAAUCGUUGCAAAGACUAAUUUACGUGCUUGGCCGAUCUGUUUGUCAGUUGUUCAAAGUGAAGUAUAUUGUUCCCUCAAAAAAAAAAAAGAAGUGAAGUAUAUUGUUCUUCUCACAACUUAUACUCUCACAGCGUAACCGUGUAAGAUGUUUGGUUGCGUAAAUGGCUUCAUAAAACUUGGAAAGUAACAUAAACUUACCAGAGGUGAUCUGAUUGCAGGAAAUAUCCAAGCCUUUGAGGCGGAAAGGGGGUGAGGAUACCUGACGGCGUUGGGGCGGCCGCGGAGCUCGGGAGGGAGCUUCCGUUCGUUUACGGCGUCCCUCACGUCCGCGAGGCGGUGCUCGGAUGACGAAGGCAGCUUCUUCUUCUUCUCCGGCGACGGCGACGGGGACGCUGCGGCGGAGGCCUCCGGGUCCCCGCUCCACGAUGCGGACCAGAAAGCCCGGCAGCAGCGGGCGGGCCGCGAGAGGAGGCGGCGCGCCGCCACGGAGAUCGCCACUGCCAUGGUAGAAGAAGCACAGAAGAGACGCGGCCGAGGGGGGGAAUGGACCUGACCGCCGCCGCCGCCUGAGGCGGUGCAGUUAACACGACCACCGUCCGAACUGGGGAUUCCUCUCUCGCGCUUCUAAUGGGCCGGAUAUAUAAUCCGGCCUUUGUGCUUUCACCCCCAUGGAAUUCGGCCCAGAAUGGUUGUUAUGGGCCUUGAUUGAAACGAAUGGUUGAACGGUUCUGUCGGUUGGCGCGAAAUGAACGGCCGUUUGGGGACGAGACGGAUGGCUUAGGACCCUCGGAAUCCAGUCUCCACAAACUCAGCUACAACAAUGGCGAGCAAGGCUUGAACGAUCACCAUAUAUAGGCAUCCGGCAGCACAAACAGGAGAAUCUAAGCUGAUCAAGAAAGCCCCAUUGCUGGAUCCGUUUCCACGGGAGAGAAGAGGAAGAGGAAAGGCAGGGCAAGGAGGGAGGGAUCGAGGAUGGCGGCGGCGGAGGACAUGGAGAGGAUCUUCAAGAGGUUCGACACCAACGGCGACGGGAAGAUCUCGCUGUCGGAGCUGACGGACGCGCUGCGGACGCUGGGGUCGACGUCGGCGGACGAGGUGCAGCGCAUGAUGGCGGAGAUCGACACAGACGGCGACGGCUUCAUCGACUUCGACGAGUUCAUCUCCUUCUGCAACGCCAACCCGGGCCUCAUGAAGGACGUCGCCAAGGUCUUUUGAGCUGCACUGCCGAUCUGCCAUCUGCGUACGGCGUCAUUCUCUUAUUACAACACGUCUAUAUAUGUCGGUCCUGUGCUAUUUUUCAGUUGAUGAGACCGGUGAUUAAUUGUUUUGACAAUUUAAUAGUUUGUUAACUGUCGAUCAAUGUCGCAUUAUAUGUAUACACUUGUUUUUUUGAAUGGUUGAGCUUUAUCGAUAAUUAUAUAAUGUUCAGUUGUUCAUAUAAAUACGCAUAGCCAGUUCUUAACAAGGUUUUGGCAGAUCCCUUUUUUUUCCGGGGACAGGGAUUUGAGGUAACCACAUAUUGUUAUUUUUUUUUGUAAAUAACGGAUCUAAGUUUUUUUCUUUUGAAGAUGAUUCUGUAUUUCACGUAUGUAAUUCUGUUAACACAAGAUAGUAUAAUGGAUAUGGAGCUAUCUCUUCUAACUCGAGGAUUACAGGCUCAAUCAUGCCUUAAAUUCAAAAUUUCAAAAUACAACACUUCUAUUCGAUAAACAUAUUCAUGGGACUGGAAAAAGAGAUUAGGGAACGGUAGCCUAAAAUACCAUCAAUUAACCAAAACUUUGGUUUGUAAACACAAGAAGACACAGCACAGCCUAGCCCAUAGAAACACACCACUGCACAACCCACGGUCUCCUAACUGAACGAACAAUGUGCCACUUUGUUGCUUGUUUGGUUGAUAUUAACCAUCUGCGCACCUUUGGAAGAAGAGCCUUUGUGAUCUACCACCAAAUCCAGUCUGCUAGCCAUAUAUUGAAUCAAGGACUAAAUUAAACUAGUACAAGAAAAAGAGCAUACACAGGACAUCCAACACUACUACAGAAAGGCUUAUCAGUAACGGUCGAAAAACAACAUCAGUAACGGUCGGUGCCGCCGUUACUAACUUCGUGUUACUGAUGAUGGGUAUCAUUAGUAACGGUCGCAGACAGUAACGGUCUCUGCGACCGUUACUGAUGUACAUAUCAUCAGUGGCGGGCGGCCCGACCCGACCGUUACUGAUGUACCAUUUAAACAACAUCAGUAACGGUCGCUUUGCCACAUCAGUGUCGGGCGAGCGACCGAAACUGACACAUUUUCAGUAAUUAAAAAGAACUAAAACCACAGAAAAUACACAGAAAAAUAUAUAUUUGAAUACACAGCACAUCACAUCACAGCACAACACAGAAAAAUACACAGCCACACCAUUUAAAGCAUACAAAUGUAUAUAAAGCCACAUCAUUUAAAGCAUAUAAAGAAUACAAAUGUAUCUCACUUCACGACAUUGAUUACAAAGUGUCAAAAUUUCACAGAAGCAUAUAAAGAAUACAGAUGUAUCUCAUUUCAAGUUUGAAGCUAUUGUUGUGGGGGAACCCUAGUCACCACUUGUUCCACGCGUUCGUAGAAGUCUCCACUAGGUUUGAUGACCUCAUUGUUGAUGACAUGGUCGAACUCCCUUUGAAUGUUAUACACGACCCAUUUAGGUCGGUGUGCCAUUGUCAUUCGAGGCCGCCAGUACUCUUCCAUAGCCGCGAUUGACCCCUUUCACUCAGGCUUGAACAUGCUGGCAUUCUCCAUAAGGAUGUGACAGCAGUAGUAGCCACAGUACACGCUGCCGGCCGGCGGUUGCUGGCAAGGAAACCUGUGGUUGUGGUGAGGCUCGUCUUUAUAGCCUUUACCAGCUAGUUUUCCCUUGGUCGCCACUUUCCAGGCAGUGUUAAUCAGUGAUUUGAUGGGUUUCCAGUACCGAUCUCGAACACCCUUCUUCGGAAGUAGUGAAUCCAAGUAGUACACCGCGGACCAAGGCAAACAAAUGAGUAGUGUCACCCAAUGGUUUCUGUUUUCAAAAGAAACAAAAUUUAGUAUCUAAGGGUGUAUAAGGAAGAGUGAAUUAGAAAAAACAAACGGUUCCAUAUAUAAAAUUGAACUUACUCCAAAUUAAGGAAGAAGAGGAUAAAGUCGUGGUCCGCGUAUUUCUCCAGACAUGCCACCAAGUAUUUAGAUGACAGGGUUCUUGAGGGAUCCUUUUCUGGCUCAAGACCAAUGUCACCGUAGUUGAACACCGCGGGGUCUAGAAUGACUACUUUUUUUUACCUCCAUUCGCCGCAUUUCUCUUACUUCGUAGGCAGACCAUAGCCUUAAGAGGUUGAUAUCAAGCUUUUGGCGGUUGAAGAGGUGGAACAGUUCGUUGAACUCCACACCAAAAGUGAUAGGACGUUCCUGAAUGUCCCUAGUUUCUUGGUCAAAGAAGCCAUAGUCUCGUGGGAUUCAACAUUGAUUUGUUGGGCAUGCUGUUGAGAACCAGCUGAUGCUUGCAUGUAGAACUGAUGAAGCUCUCGCAUCUCUCUGGACACGGCACGCAGGGAAUCUUCGGUGACCAUCGGUCUUCCAGUAUAGUAAAUAAGCACCCGGUCAAACUCCCUAGCCACGAAAUAUGAUCCGUCUUCGAAUCUCUGGCCUUGACGGGGGUUCUUCAUGAGAAUGUCAGGCCUAUUGUCUUCCCAGACUCCAGUUAUGUCAGGCACAUAGUGCAUCUCAUCUUGAUUGACAUUGGAGAAGUCCUUGAUGGUCUUGCCACCGUGCCCCCUCUUUUUAUUCCUCCUCUUAUUGUCCCAUGCCUUUUGCUCCUCUGCCUUGUACUUGUCAUCGAUCCUGUUGCCACUGAUGGACUCAGCGGCACCCAAGAGAGAGAAGGUAGGAGGGACGCUUCCAGCCUGUGCCGACCCUGUGGUCUGGCUAUCUUUGAGCUGUGUAGGCAUCGACAUUGCCCGCUCCUCAUCUCUGCCGGCAUCGACAGGAGGAAGUAUCCUAGGGGAAAGGCCGAGCGGUGAUUGAGAAGUACCUUUGUGGGCGGAGCGAGAUGGAGUCAUAGAAGGCCGGCGCUGGUUGUAGAAAGACCAAGCUCCUAGGCCACAUAAUACGGUAGUUUGGACAACCGCCUAGGAUAUCCACGCCUUCCUCCGGAGGUAGCGAGAUAGCAUAAUCACGAUGGUCGUUGAUGACGGAGUCCACCAUCACACUCACUUGUGUGUCGUUCAUAUGCCGUGCACCAGUGGCGGUGAUUGUCUGGGCAUCAGGCGGCCAAUGGCGCCUACAGGCUUCCUAGGCUUGUCUAUGUGGAUACGAAACUUCACCGGUGCCUGCGUGUAACAAGAAGAAGGCAUAUGUGUGUAAGAUCUUUAUUCAUGAAGGUAAGGAGUGAAAAAGAGUUUGAAAAGUAUGCUUACAAGGAUGUUGUCGCUCCGACCCGGAUCAUUAUCCCGGAUGCCCUCGCUUGGGUCCGGUUGGCUAACGGGGGGGUUUCGGCCAUUCCUUUUAUAUGCUGAAGCACAUCAGUGGCGGUCACCUUACCACGCGACCGUUACUGAUGAGCAUCUAUACAUCAGUAAUAGGCGAGCGACUCAGCAACCGUUACUGAUGUGCUCACAUCAGUAACAGGCGACAGAGCGACAGACCGUUACUGAUGAGCACCUAUACAUCAGUAACGGUCACAGAGUAGUUGACCGUUACUGAUGUGCUCCUAUGCUUGUUGGGGCAGUUGUACCAAUUUAAAUUUAGAAAUCCUGUCCCAUUGAAAAUAUGUUUGAGGAAUAAAUUCAUGCAUUUCUCUAGUAUUUGUGCUACAUUAAAUUCAAAAAAUUCAUCACAUGUGAUGAAGACAUCCCAACUAAUGAUACAACCAUAGCCCCUACAGCACCUACAACUCAAGUACCGGACAUACAUGGACCAAUUACUAGAGCUCGUGCACGACAACUAAAUUAUCAGGUACUUCCGUUCCUCGGUAGUUCAUUUAAUAUUAAUGAGAAUAUGCUGCUGCCUAAGAUGGGUUCUUUUAUGUGUUUUAGGAAUGAAGGGCCUAGCUUGGACCUCAAGGAUCAGCGUUAGACAGCAAACCAUGGAGGUGGCAGCAAGGUGGCAGGAGCUAGCUCAAGUGAUGAUUUCAGAACAUUGAAACCGCCAUAACGAGAGAUGAGAAGAAGGCCGCAUCCUCUUCAUCAAUGGGAUUUCGGCCAAGUGGAGGAUUCCCCCUCCAAUGGGUAUUUAUGGGCCAAAGAUGAGGGUUAUAACCUUGUUUUAUUGGGUCUAAGGCCAUGUAAUAGGGUCCAGCCAAUUUUUAGAUGUUUUCGUUAUGUUUUAGGAGGAUUCCUAGGCCGUUUCGGAGUCCCUCAAGGGCCUGACCGAAAACCACCUAGUUCCCCUCCUAUUUAUACCCCAUGAGCCCCCCUAUGGUGUUGGAAAUAUGCCCUAGAGGCAAUAAUAAAUUUGUUAUUAUCAUAUUUCAUUGUUCUUGAUAAAUGUUUAUUGCCCAUGCUAUAAUUGUAUUGAUUGGAAACUCAAAUACAUGUGUGGAUAAAUAAACAAAUACCGUGUCCCUAAUACGCCUCUACUAGAUUAGCUCGUUGAUUAAAGAUGGUUAAGGUUUCCUAACCAUAGACAUGUGUUGUCAUUUAAUAACGAGGUCAUAUCAUUAGGAGAAUGAUGUGAUGGACAGACCCAAACCUAAACAUAGCUUUUGAUCGUGUCACUUAAGUUUAAGUUGCUUAUGUUUUAUUAUGUCAAGUAUUAUUUCUUUAGACCAUGAGAUCAUGCCACUCCCUAGUACCGGAAGAAUACUUUGUGGGCAUCAACCGUCAUCUCGUAACUGGGUGAUCAUAAAGGUGUUUUUCAGGUAUCCCAGAAGGUGCUUGUUGGGUUGUAUGGAUCAAGACUGGGAUUUGUCACUCCUUGUGACGGAGAAACCUGCGUCAAACGAAAUCAAAAGACAAAAACAAGUUCGAUCUAGUAGAAAAAAUCUGAAAAACGAUCCAAUCUAAUCCAGCAACUCGACACGAUUAAUGCAGCAAAGAUUCAACAAUGCAAAACUAAAGUGAAAAUUGCAAGGCUCAGAUUGGUUCUAGGACAACGUAACUAAUCUAAAUUAUUAUUUUUGGCUUUUUCUUGACAAUAGGUAAAAAACAGAUCUAAGCUAGGGAUAAAUUGAAAGAUCUCAGCGAGCAACGUUAAGCUCUGAUACCACGUGAUAGCCUCGAGGGUGUCCCGAUAUUUCGGUGAGAUACCUAAUUAUCGAUUUGGUAGGAGGUGACGUUGACGAUCCGACUACAACCUAGGAGGCAGCGCCUUAGCAAUCGAUACACCAACUCCAGAAGGUUAUUGAUC